UAAAAAGCCAGCCUAUAUAUACACAACUAUGGCCCUAUAAGUUAGUUUUGCCCAAAUCACCAUGAACUUAUAUUUGGAAUGGUUAUGGGAAAAAAUGAAAAGUUCCAGUUUAGAUUUAGCAUGGAUGAAACUUACAAACCAUGCUUGAAGUACUCUUCUUGCUAACUUUCCACAGCACGAAGGAAAACUUUGCCCAUAAAGGGGCCUGCCACGUGGGCAUAUGAAAAUUCUAAAUCUUGAUCACCUAAGGAAUCCAGUAGAGGGAUUUUCCAACUUGUGUUUCUUACACAGUCAUUCAUUUAUCCAUUUUUCUGUACUUACCAAAUUGAUAUUUAUUUCAGUUCUGUAAUUACCAGAUUGAUAUUUAUUUCACUUUUGUUUUGGAACCACAAUCUACAGGAUUCACCUUAAACCUUAUGGAUAUUGUAGCAUAGAUUAUGCUCUUACACCUAGUCUUAUAAUUUACCCAUGCACACAAACAUUCAGUAUUGACAUAAUUUCCAGAGGCCUACUUUUGUUUCAGAGAGCUUUAUUUUUCUAUUUGAAAGCAGGGAGGUCGCUGCUAUAAGCACCUGAUCCUAAACCUCGAUAUCACAGAUCAAGACAGGUUGAGAUACAAUUUAAACAAAUUCUAAGGGAAAAAUAAGGAUGACGUUAAUGUCAAAUAAGGUACCACUAGGUAAUUAAUGCACAGGCAAGAAAAGGAUCGGUGAAGGUAAGAUGAUAAAAUAAAAGUUAAAAGGUGCAUACCUUAAAUUCUUUUGAAAUUGCUCAUCAUCACUUGAAAUCUCAUCCAACCUCUGGACAGAGUUCUGCAGGGCAGCUACAGACCAUGGAUUUGGUGCAGGUAGUUCAUCAGAAAAAUAUCUUCUCCUGAUCAACUGAACAAAUGCAUGUCACUAACAUUUAAACUUAGAUUACAACCAAAUAAAAACAUUAGUAAAUUUCCACAUUAUGAUACAAUAGCAUUGAUACAUACCAUGCGAAAAAACUUAAUCAAAGCUUCUUUGUCAUAUCUAGCUUCUUUGGCAGCCUGCAAAUAGUAAAUAGAAAUUUAAAAAAAGCUAAUAUAAAAGAAUGAUUUCAAAACCUAUAUAGUCAAAAAGUACUAAGUAAUAUUUUUAACCCAAAAAAAAAAUCAAAACAACAUAUAUUUAAUGGCUAGAAAGUAGACUUAGAGUAUCGAAUGUCCCAUGCCACAUGCUGCAAGUCAAGUGAUCUCUCAAGUCAGUCUCCAAGAGGAUCUGGCUCCUACAAGAAUCUAAACAAGAUUUGAUUGCUAGAGUACACACUGAAUAGUGAACAUAUGCAUGACAAGAUAAAGAACUUAAGAUAAGACAUAAUACGAGCCGUAAAUAAAAAGGCAAAAGAAAAAUUAACAUGGAUAACCAAUGAAAUUUGCAAUAUAAUUACACACAUGAUAAUGUGGGUUCUGUGAAAGGUGCUAGAGAAUUGAAUUUCUGAACAUCUAUAGGAGGUUGUUGAAGAUGAUACUUGGUUAGAUGUAGUGCCAACAUAUUCACUAAUAGCCUCCAACUCAUAGUAUCCACUCCCAGCAGAGAAAGCACAUAAAAGGCUCCUGAACCCACCAACCCUAACCAGCCCAAACAUUUUCAUACAUUUUGCAACACAAUCAACAAAAACUUUUGAGAAUGUUAACAUCUUCCAUACCCUAAACAUGCAAGUCUAUAUAUCUGCAGAUGGGUCAAUUUGGGUUGACUGCAAAGGUAGCUAGGUGCAACCUACCUUUGUUUUUGGAAAUGCACCCACUUCAAUGACACUUGCAAAUCUAUAUAUCUGCAGAUGGGUCAAUUUGGGUUGAAGAUAUGCUAGAAUCAGUUUCCAAUCAGGCAGAUCCAUCUCAUUUACUAACUGCAGCUGGGUUAGAUUCAGGUCAGCAAGUAUAGCAACAUUAUCAGGCUACCUUUGGUCUAACUAGAUCCAAAUCCGAAACCAAUAUGUUUGGUUUUGGUUGGGUCGAGCACAGGCUGGGAUCAAUUGGGUUAAGUAUGUGCCUAUGUCAUCACUAGGGCACAGGAAAAUUUACUGUCUAUAUGAUGAAAGCAAUAUUAUAGUAGAUAUAGUAUCAACACAGAUCACUAUAUCUAGCUAAUGUUUAUCAUCUCUUGCUCAGUGUAAUGAUACAAAACUAUAUAGCCAAAUUUUUCUUUGCUAUUUAUUUAUUUUGCAAAGACUAAAUAGCAGUUCUUCAAUACUACAAAUAAUCAUAUGCCUAUCAUUUUAAGUUGCAAUAGGUUUAGGCCUUGUCUUUGGUCUGGUCAGGUUGUAAAGUGACCCAUUUAGAUCCAUUUUAGCUUUGUGACUGGAUCAGUUUAGGAACAUGCUAUGGAUAGCCAAGUCCAACACUGAAAUGAAAUCAAGUUCAAAAGUUGGACCAAAUCCAACACAAUUCAUUAAGAGACAUUCUGAAAAAUAGCAUUUAGUUAAACAGCCAACAUCUUUCAAAUCAAGGGGCAUGUGAUGUAAGGACAAACACUAAGUUUGUUAAAAGGUUUGUAUAUCAUUAAGCUACAAUGUUUUCAUUAAAAAACAAAUCUAAAGGGCAUUUAGAAUUUGAUCACAAUAAUGUGUAGCCAAAUCCAAUCCCUCUGAAAUUGCUUUUAAGAUUUGGAUCUAAUCCAACUGAAAUAACAUGGUAUUCCAGCGUAUGGAUAUGGUAUACAAAGGAGGUAACAACAGGGAAAAAAACAGUAGGUAGAAGUCUGCAUCAUGUACAGGAACUAACCCCAAACAGGAAGAAAGAGAAGCCACUCAAAAAAAAAAAAAAACAAGAACUACAUAAACAAGUGCAGAAACCAAAAAAGACUAAAGAAAAGGCAACAAAUUAGCCCAACUAUAGCAACCGCUUAAAACAACUCCAAACAAAGGCAACUCCAUUUUUAUAAUUCAUCUAUUAGAAGUAUGGCAGAUUUCAGAGUAUGCAUAGCUGCUUUUCAAUAAAUAGCAGACUUUCGUGAUACAUUGCACAUACAUUUUGCACAUGCAUAUAUUACCUCAGGCCGUACCUAGUACAAAAUACCAUUGCUGUUAAAAUCUUACGGUUCAUGAUCUGGAUCUUACAAACUGGAUUAAAAUGGCCCUAUACGAUCCGAAUCCCAUCCUAGGAUCAGGCUUAGUGUAGGACCACAAGAUUUAGAUCCACAUAAUUGACUAUACAUUCCUUCGAAUCAUAGACUCUAGCUUGAUAUGCUAACUACAUGUUAAAUCAUGGGUAGACCCAUUAUCUAUAAAUCAAGUGACUGUGGCUUUUAAAUUAGUUAUCAUCAGUAAGUAUUAAGAAGUAAAAUUAGCAAACCUACUAUUGGACUCUAUAGAGUUAAAAACAAGUUGCACAUAUUUGUCUUUUUUUUACAGGCAUAUGUUAAAGAUUUGUUCAUGUUUCCUCCAAAAAUAUGAUAGCUAAAAGGAUAAUUAAAUUGCUAGAUAAUAUAUAAACUUCCUGAAUAACCAAAUAAAAAAAUGGUCACAUUAAACAUGUUAUAUAUGGCCUAUAUUUGAGAAAACUAGAGUUCUCGAUGUAUGGCUUUCUUCGUUCAUUUACUUUAUAGUUGACCCAUAUUUCAAUUCCACGUUUCUUGUGUAGUUAAAAAGUCCUAUAAGAAAUCAAACAAAAUCUUACGAUCUACGAUCCGAUCAGCUAGCCCCUUCUAUGAUUUACGACUCGAUGCCGAUCUUAACAACAAGCAAAAUGCAUUUAAAACAGAUCAGAAAUUAUUCAAGUAGGGCACUGAGAAUUUCUGAUAAGCUAACAAAGGAGACAGAUCUAAUAUAUUCAACACCAAUAAAUCAACACGACUAAUUAUUAUCUUGAAAGUUCGCAUGUAACAAGUGACUUAGGUAUCAGUAGAAAGAGUUGUAAAAGUGGUGCAUUACAACAUAUCUCAGCAUAACUGCAGAACACCUGAAAUUAAACUCUGAAACUUAUACAUACGCACGCACGCACGCACACAUAAUAUGUAUGUAUGUAUAGUUCUUACUGUGAUAAGGCCUGAACUGCCUGGGAAGCUCUCUGUUAAAGGAAGUUCUUCGCUAGAUGCAAGUAGGCCCUGCUUUUCAACCCACUGGCGAGCGGCGUCAACAAGGUUUCCACUGCUUCCCCUGAUGCCCUCCUUGGCAGCAAUAUCAGCUUUGUUACUGAUAACCAGGUAAGGAACAGGAAGACCUCCAGGCCCUCCAGAUCCAAGUGGUGCUGAAAACGUCCCAGUUGCUGCAAUCUCUGCUGCCCACCGAUGCAAGCUUGUCUUUGUCCUCCUUUGGGAGAGAUCAUGAACAAAUAUAACGCCUAUGGAUGAGUGUCAAAAUAGGAAAAUGACUACAGUAUGUUAAUUCUCAAUAAACAAACUGAUCUAAAUUAUACUUUUGUUCUCAAAGAAAUAAAUAAACAAACAAACAUUACAUGCAAUGAUCAUUUCCUUGCUAUUAUCAUAGAUUGAACAUGGUAUUUCCAGCAUUUUCCCCUUUAUUGUUAAGUCAUACGUCAUCAGAUAUGGGUAACGUGCACUAUCUAUGUUCAUGACCCAAGGGGAAUAAGAAAAUUUAUUUACGAAAACUGUUAAUUAUCCCAUUUUAGAAUGCAGCCACAAUAUAAACAAAAUUUGAGACUAAUGAAACCACAAGGACAUAAUUCUUAAGAGCCCCUACAUAUUAUUUCUGUCAAGGCAUGGCUUCUAAUCAUCUAAUAACUGUAAGAAAGAAGCACUUCUCAUGUCCUAUGAGCGAACAGGCUGCAAAGUGGACAGUCUUAAUAUAAACAAUCGUCAUAUUAUGCUAAAGUGAAAGAUAUUCAGAUUAUGAUAAUAAUUUCAAUAUCCCUGGAUUAAGAUCAAAGUUGAAAAUCAAAAAGAAUAUCACAGCUGAAUAAAUCUGGAGAUCAUCAAAUGGCUGGCUGCAGGCCUGCGGUAAAUGCACAAGAUGAUGAUUACAAGACAAUAUAAACAGAAUAAAUCAAAUACCAUGCAUAUGCAGAUGGAAAAUCUGCAUAAUGUCGCAACCAAUAAUAUAAAUGAAAGGGUAAUCAAUCCAUGGCAGGAGGCAAAGUGAUUCAUGGAAAGAGACAAGCAACAGGAAUAAUUUCCAAAGAGGUGGUGGAAAUGACAUGAAAAGGAAAGAUGCAAAUAUAGAAACCAAGCAAAGAAGGACAGAGGCCAACAACCCACUAUUCUAGAUCCAUUUCCAAACUAACCCCCUGAAUACUUCACUAACCAAGGAUUCAUGUACCACAUCUACCCCCAUACCAGUCACAUGUUGGCUGAGUACAGUAACAUACCAAACCAUAUCAAUAAGGCCAUGCGAUUUUUAUAUGAUUAUAGGUUUGAAAUUUGGGAACAAUAUAGCUAAACAUAAAGAUCCAAAAUUCCCAAAAAAAUGAAGAAGAUAUACAAAAUGUUCAAAAAGAAUUCAAAAUUAUUCAAUAUGUAGCAUUUUCAAUUUGUAUUUUAUAAAAGGUUCCUUGAAGUAGCCACGAAUAAUUUUUGAAUAAAUCAUAAAAUAUGUCAAUAAUUAUUGAAUAAUUGCAUAUUCUAUAAUAAUUCAUAUAAGAAGAAGAUUUUAGAGAAUUAAUCAUCUAAGGCAAAAAAAUGCGACCAAAUUGAAAUUGUUUCAAUAAUUUGGAUAGUAGUGUUAUUAUGGUUCCAAUCAUGUGCUCACAUUGCAUGGCUAAUGGCAAAGAAAAGCAGGUCCAUCCCACUCCAAUACUGAUCCAUGCAAGUGCACACCUAUCCCUCUCUCAAUAUCCAAUCCCAUCAAAAACUUAGAAGAUUCCACUCUAUAAAUUUGGUCUCUUCAUAACACUUACCUUUUAAUACGUAACCAUAAACUAAUAAACUCCUAAAGUUUUUGGAUAGUCAUGUGAAGCCUAAGGGCAUCAUCUUUUCUUUUUAUUUGGCAAUCUUCAAAUACCUGAGGUCAGAACUGGUUCCUCUAAAAACAUCAUGAAAACAUGUACCAUACUGAUAAAGCAAAACCCAACACUAUUUUAUCAUAAGCAAAAUCCAACACUAUUUUAUCAUAGGCAAAAUCCAACACCAUUUUAUCAAAAGAAAAGAAAGAAAUUUCAAGCAUGCAUCAUGAAUGAACAGAAGUAGUACAAUAGUGAUCUUAAUGAUGCUGUCAUAUGCAAAAGUAUUGUCACCAGCCUCCAUAGCCUGACGCCCAUUUGUCCCGAUAUUGUAGCUGCCAAAAACCAAUUAGCCAGCGCAAGCAACAAUGCCUCUUAGAUAUCUAUAAACAAUAAAUUUUCAUGGUUUAUUCCAUUCAUCCAGUCUUUAUGUCAUUUUACAGCAUAUAUUGAAGUUGCCUGACUUGGAACUUCCCAUACUUGAAAAUGACUUUGAGUGAUUUCCCUCAUAGAAGAUGACAAUGUUUUGCUUUUAGCCCUAUUUUUCUCACAUUCAGUGGUGAAAAAUUACAAUUUUUCAUAUUCUUGUGAAGAUUUUGAUAUACAUUUUUCUACAAAAACACACCAAUAUCAUGAAAGCAAAAUCCAUUAAUAUCAAUAUAGCAUUCAUGGACAAUUAUUCCCCUACAAGCCAUUAUGAUUUCACAAUAAGAAGUAAAAUUUAGUAAUAUCCUCCUCAACAGAUAUUAUGUUCCUUACCAUAUAUAAAAAGAAGAAAAACAAUAGGAACAUACGACGUUGUGGACAUGUGGAGCCCUAUAUGUAGCUAUGACAAGUAAAACAAUCUAAAACAUGAAAGAUCUGAUGUAAUAUAAGACUUACCAUUGAUUUGUGCAUAAAAAAGAGAUCGGCAAUCCUUAUACUGUUCAUGUCCCGAGACAUCCCAAAGCUCAACAAAGAAGUCCCUUUCUGCAUCACCUUUUAUGCUAUUAGAAGAGCUGCCAGCACUUCCAUAAGUAAUAUGCUGGAGAAGAAAAAAUAAGAUUUUGUGAGGAAACAUUAAGUGAAAGCAUAUCGCCAAUUGAAAAGAAAAAUGUAACAACCAUACCUUCACAUUCACUGUACAUCCUAUUGUCUGAGAUGGUCGAGCAAUCGAAGAACCCUUUACAAUUAGAUGCACUAGUGAUGUCUUUCCAACACCUGAUAGGUGAUUUUAAAAAAAAAUCAUGUUUCAAGCAAUACUGCAAUAGGUUAGCAUGCAAACAUGCAUGGCACAGACGGACAUAUACAUAAGAAUACCUACAUACAAACAACAUAGAUAUGGAUGCAUGCAUGCAUGCAUUGCAUGGAAAAAAUUGUGCGCUAAAACUAAUUAGAAGAAGCACAUACUAUAGUAGACAAAGUGCAUUGUUUUUCUGGCUAUACAAAAUAUAUUAGGUAAUUCAUACUGGAUGCAAACUCUUGCUACUCAUGCAAUUUUGCACCAACACUGCAUAAGCGAAAUACCAACUAGGGGAAGGGAAAAAUAUUUAAACUUACUGAUUUCUCAUGUUUUUAUGUUCGUUCUACUGCUAAUUGUAAACGUGAUCGAUUGCAAACAAAAACACUUAAUAUCUCAAAUUUUAGAUAACCAUCUUUCAGACAACCCUUUUUAGAUGUAGACUCUGUGCAACACCUGAGGAGAAAAUCCAUGUUGCGAAACCACUGAUUCAGCUUCGAACAUGAAAUGCUCCUUUCAGAGUGCAGACAUGCAUCCACACACACGCUUGAAAAUAAAAUAAAACGUGAUCAUGGCUCUAUUAAUGCAACCAGAAUGGGCAUUAAAUGCAAUCAGCUAGACAUAAACUGCAAAUUAAACUCCAAAAAUCAGUCGUCUUGUUAACAGUUAAAUAUAUUUGCAAUAAGAAAGUACAUUCAUUUGUAUUGAUCUCGCAUAAUACACAUUCAAACGGAACACAAAAUCAAAAAAAGGAAAAAAAAAUCUGCAAAACAAUCGGUGGGAGCAAGAACAGUUGAUCAUCUAAACAAUUCAAGAACCAAACUGGUAAAUUAUUUCCGACUAUCUAGCCGGAAGGACUAAAGAUCCAAUUUUUCAGUAACAAAAGAAAGGAAAAGAAAGGAAAAUAAAGAAAAUUUCAAUAUUCCGCAAGAAAAAGAAAAGCAAAUCGAUUGAAUACCAGGCUCUCCGACGACGAGGACCCGGACUUGGCCGCAAGGAGGGCCGCCGUUCUGCUCUCUGCUGUCCCUUCCCCUCCUCUCCCUCCAGAACAUGGCUCCUCCAAAUCCCUCAACCACAAGAAUCUAUUCCCGGACCCAAGAAACCCAGUCCCGCAGAGAUCAAGAGCCCUCAAAUCCCAGAGAGGAGCAACGCAUUGAGAUGGGCAUCUCAUUGACCAAACAAAGAUCCAUCAAGAACGCCAAGAAUCCAAACCUAUAACCCAGAAACAAUAAAACCCUCCUGACCAAAUCGUCUAAAAAACGCAUCAAUCGGAAGAACUGAUCAUGAUCUGAGAUUAAUUGACCAAAGCCCCAGCGCUAUCCGAAUCCAGAACCAAAGAAUUUCGGUGCCGAUUCGGAGAAAGGAGGAGGGUGAUUCAGUCUAAAAGAACGCAGAAAGCGAGGAAUUUGAACUCUUUCCGAAUACCAGAAGGAAUGGGGAGGGAAGAGGAGGAAAACCCAACAAGAUUUGGGAAAAGAAACAGCCUCUUUUGUUCGAGAUUUCUUUUUUCCGCUUACAUAAUGUCUAGGAUCGAAGAAGGAAAAAAACGAGCCGAUGGGCGACGGCCGUCGAACUGAUCGGUUCUCACUUUCGAACUCGCUCGUCCGCUCUACUUCUGAGGCCCUGUUUGGGGAGCUUCUGGCGGGCCAGAAAGCACUUUCUGGCCCUCCAAAAGUACUUUUAGAUGAAAAAUUGUAUUUGGUAAAUUUUUCAAAAAGCUGUUUCAGCUUUUGCGGGAAGCUGAAAACAGCUUUUGGGAGGAAGCUCCAAUUUGGAGCUUUUGAGAAAAAGCUGUUUCAGCUUUUUCGGAAAGCUGUAUUUUUGACAAAAAUGCCCAUAUUAAAAUAACAUAAUUACAUAGUUUGUCCCUUUAUAAACCUAAAAAUUUGCUGGAGCCAAGAACCCUAACCGUCAGACUCCCUUCCAUAAGAAAAGGUAUUUUUCUUUUCAAUUUUGUAUGCAUCUCUUGAACCACAUUUUAGAAGAAAAAAUUUUUAAUCCUUUUCCAUACCUUCCAAAAUCAAUCUAUUAUUUUUUUUAUCAUCAACCUCGCGGCCCACGCUGAGGUCCUCCUCGAGCGUGGACCACGAAGAAGAGCCCCUGGACCGCGGAAAAUUAUUUUAUGGGAAAUUAUGAAAAAUUANNNNNNNNNNNNNNNNNNNNNNNNNNNNNNNNNNNNNNNNNNNNNNNNNNNNNNNNNNNNNNNNNNNNNNNNNNNNNNNNNNNNNNNNNNNNNNNNNNNNNNNNNNNNNNNNNNNNNNNNNNNNNNNNNNNNNNNNNNNNNNNNNNNNNNNNNNNNNNNNNNNNNNNNNNNNNNNNNNNNNNNNNNNNNNNNNNNNNNNNNNNNNNNNNNNNNNNNNNNNNNNNNNNNNNNNNNNNNNNNNNNNNNNNNNNNNNNNNNNNNNNNNNNNNNNNNNNNNNNNNNNNNNNNNNNNNNNNNNNNNNNNNNNNNNNNNNNNNNNNNNNNNNNNNNNNNNNNNNNNNNNNNNNNNNNNNNNNNNNNNNNNNNNNNNNNNNNNNNNNNNNNNNNNNNNNNNNNNNNNNNNNNNNNNNNNNNNNNNNNNNNNNNNNNNNNNNNNNNNNNNNNNNNNNNNNNNNNNNNNNNNNNNNNNNNNNNNNNNNNNNUUCACUUUUCAAUAUUUAAAUAUGUUCGAUGGGGUUGUACCCUUUAUCUAAAAUAUGCUUGUCACCACAGAGACAGCAAAAAUUUGCAACUAAACGUUUGGAAAGUGCCUGCUCAUAGUGGUAAUCCUUUGCAAGAUAAAGCCCUUUCCUUUUUAGUACCCACAAGCUCCUUUCCUUUUAGCACCAUGUUCCAUUAAUUGAGACUGUUGUUGUGCAAAAGCCAUUAGUGAAUUAGAUACAUGAUUUCUUUCCAGGUUCUGCUACUUUUUUGUGCUAGGAGGUUUCAUUUUGUCUCUCUUGCUUACAGCCAUCUUUGUAAAGCCGGCUAAUCCAUCGCAUAGUUAACUCCUAGAGAGAAGAAUUUGCAAUAUUUCUUUGGUUUUUGACUCUUGAUACUGGGCUUAGCAUGGGCGUCCGCAUCGACAAGGCCCCACCUCCGCCAAAGCCCUAAGGAUGCCAAGGCCCACGAGUAAGGAUGUGGUCGGGUGGAGCUUGACCGAGUUGGAUCUAAUCAACGAUACUUUGAAAUUAAUUUCAAACUCAAGCUCAGAGUUCAAGNNNNNNNNNNNNNNNNNNNNNNNNNNNNNNNNNNNNNNNNNNNNNNNNNNNNNGCCUAAUUGAUCAGUUUGAUAAGCUCGAUUCAAACUUGAAUUAAAGCAGGGCUCCAAAACUUGGUUUUAAAUCUGAAUUCACAUUUAAUGUUUCAAAAAUAAAAAAUAUUAAUCAAAAUUUAAUCCAAUGAACCAAUAUAUAGUAUAUAUUAUAUUAUAUAUAAUAUUUACAUAUAACAUAUAUCAUACAUAAUGCAUAACAUAUAUUAUAUAUAAAUAGUAUAUAAUAUAUGUUUUAUGUAUUAUAUAUUAUAUAUAAGAUAAUAUAUAUUACAUGUAAUACAUGUAUUUCAAGCCUUAUCCGGUCGAGCUUGAUUUAGCCGGUUCAAUUUUGAACCUAGCUUGAAAUUAAUAUCGAGCCUAUUUUGCUAGUUCGAGAUAUAUUUGUUUACUUUGGAAUUGAGCUUGAUUCAAGCUUUUCUCGAACCAAUCUUGUGCUUAACUUGAGCUAAUUAUUUAAGGAACCUUCUAUAUUUACUUUAAAUCGGAUGCAGUGAAAAUAUCCCCUUCUUAUGUAAGAUUGGUGCAAUUCAUGAUAAUUUCACCAGCCGAAACCAUCAGCGUUUGGGGUGACCUUGUAAACGCCUCCUAUGAAUCUUAUCCCCUCCUCGUUGCGUUUUGUGAUUGACUUCAUCAGCGUGCGUGUCCGAGGUUGCAGUUUUAUCUGAAAAAGGUUCCUGCUAUCGACUUUGCUUCACGGCUGAGAACAAGCUUGGAUAGAUGAAUGGGCUGCAUACGUCGUGAAGUUUAUCGAGGUACAUGUGUACAUCUUGACAACAACAUUUAGUCUUCAAAUACGCAUCCAAGCAGCCCUUUGCUUCCAUGCUAUUUGAGUGAUCUUGGAGUCAAAGUGAGGUCAUGUUGGACUGGAGUGCCAGCCAAUCUUUUCAUGGUCAUCCGUUUUUCAGGUGCUAGGAGCUAGGCGCAUCACUCUUGAGAGUGACUCGGCUACGGCGAUAGAGUGGAUUCUACAAGAGGGUUGAAGGGAAGCAGAGCAUCCGCUUCUCAGCGACAUCCGAUGGUUGGCAAGAGGUUGUGUUUCCUUCCAAGCGGUGCAUGUAUACCGUGAGGCAAAUAGGGUGGUUGACUGAGUCGUUUCUUAAGCCGCCCAGUAUUCUGGUAGUUUUUUUUUGGACUCGAGAGUCGGACAUUUCUUUAGCUUGGGUAGUCUAUUUUUUCUUGACAAUUCAGGCUAUGCUCAUGCAAAUUAGCAUGAGCAGCCGAUGUACCAAAAAAAAAAAUGAUCGUCCGUUUUUAUAACAAUGCAUCAAGAUGAGUACUUGAUAAAUGAAGCUCAUAAAAAUGAGGGACUAUAAUUGACAGUAUACACGUCUAUGCGUUACAUACAGUGUAGGAUAUAAUUUUCCUACGUUGGCGUGGAAGUUUUGUUCCUUUAGAGAAGUUUGCAAGACCAAUCACUUUAAGUGGGCUCUAAAUUUGAUAGCGAGCAAGCUGAGGUCGAUUCAGGGAUUUUGUCUGAGCCUCUAGAAAAGCCAUAUAUUCUCUCUAUCAAAAAUAACUAAAUAAAUAAAUAAAACAAAGGAUGUAUCUUUCUGAUCUGAUGUUUGAAUGGUUCAUAUGCUUUGCAGAAAACAUUCAUGUUGGCUCCAUUGACAGGUUUAAAAAGGUAAUAGUCGUAACAGAGUAUUGCAUUGGUUACUAGUCGUAAGUAUAAUUAUAAGCUUCCGAUUGUAAUUCUAAUCGUGAACCACUAGAGAAAUAUGAUUAUUUUGACUUUUAUUUUAAUUUUGAUUCCAAAUGUGAACCAAAUGCAUGUUAAACGGGAGGCAAGGAAGCAAAGAUUUGUGUUCUUCUCUUGGCCGUUUUCUAUACCUACUGCCGCCUGCCGGAAUAUCAACUUCCGUGGGUCCCAAUUAAAACGCAUGAAUGAGAUCAGCAAGCACGCCACCCCUGUCCUCUUCAUAUCCAAGUAGAAAAUAAAUAAAACCUCGUUACGUCAAGAACGUUCAUUGGAUGCACAUCUUCCCUGCUUAUUAUCAGUUUAAAUUAAUCGAAUACAUUUAACUAAUAUAAAUCGUUAAGAAAAUCGUGGACAUGCAACGUCCUCAUAUUACUUUUCCGUUGUGUUUCACGUGCUGACGGUCCCCUUAUCAGAGCCAGACACGUGUGACAUAAAGGUGCUUGCGUGGACGCUCAUACGCUCACGAGCAACACGAAAAAAAAUUCUGACAAUCCGUCCCACAAAUAAAACCGGUUACCCAAAUCCGAGUCCCUCAUGCCUACGACUCCACGAGGAGGUUAGGCUUCGCUCGGAAGGCCAUGACGAAGUAUAUAUUAAAAAUAGAUACGGGAGCGUGGACCGCCUUAUUCUGGAGAAAGAGUCAGCCACAAUAAUUGGGUGGAUUUGAGGUUGGAGGUUCUCGAUCCAUCAUUGACUGCUGCUCCAUAAUAUUUGUAAAUUACUGAAAGAAUGCGAUUCUCAUCAGAUCAUGUACGUAUACCAAAAGAUAAAUGAUGUUGUAGACCGAAUUACAUCUUUUGCAGCUCAUCACUCUUAAAAUUUCGCCUGGAUAGGUCAUGAUUUUAUGCUAAUACCUUUAUGUAGUAUUUUAUUUUUUAAUUUUGUCAGCCCAAUGUACCCAAAAAAAAAAAAAAAAUACUGAGCCGAACCAAGGACGAUUCGGGGUUGGGCCGGUUCAGGUUUGGGUUCGCCGAAAAUCGUGCCCCGUUGGACUCUAAUUUGGGACCACCGCAACAACCCGGUUUCUUUAUCCGCUGCCGUCGCGGAAACCGACGGCCCGGAAGACGCCAAGAAGAGAGGGGCCCACCUCGACGUCGAGUGAGAGAAAGUGUCGAGGCCUGUCGGCCCAGCUGGCAGCCACGUGGGCGGCGGCCGAUGGUUGUACCAUCAGAAUCCGACGCGUGACAGACAUGUCGCAUCAGCCGGACGCGUGUCUCCUUGUCUUUUUUUCUAACCAAGACGUCGGCGACAAUAUACGUGGCAUCCGUCGAAACAUGAACCGUCCAAGCCAUGGACCAAUCACUAGACUGUUCCAAAUUUCCUAUUUAAUCCAAUUAAUUUAAAAAUUACUAUUACCAUUAUUAUUAUUACAACUACUACUUAAUGUUAACUAGUUAGCUUGUGGGUCAAACACGCCUCAUCUGCCAUGUCAUUGCCGGAAUUUCUCUCCUCCUAAUUGUGUUGCGUAAGUUCACGGUUGGCUCCGGUAGGAGUUGGGGCAGGUUGAAGAGUGGAGUUCAAGUUGAACAGUUGAUAGUGGCAUUUUUCCAGAGAUGAGCUAAAGUUCAAGGAUCAUAAUUUAUGAAUUUUUUUAUUAUUCAGCAUAUUUUAAGAAUUACUAUGUUAAAUAUUUGUGGUUGGAUAACCUUUUUUAUAGACUCAUCACUAGUUCUUCAAUAGCCCAUUCAACGUCUUUCAAAACAUGUGUGAAUCAAGAUGGAAGACUAUGUUAAUUAGCUUUUAGAUAUAUGUACAUCACAUGUCCUAUCAAUUCACAACAUAUGCUGAUACUAAAACACAUCAAUAGUAUGUAUUAAAGUCGUGAACUCCACAAUCAUACUUUAAGAAUAAUAUCCAUACCAUAAACGAGCGCAAUGAUAACUAGUCCACAAAUAUCAACAAGAAUGUAAGUGUACGUCAAGAUUUGAGAUUAUGCCCUUGCAUUCGCCAAUUCUAUGUAUACUUGAAAGUGUCCUAUUUGCAUAUUACCAUGGGUCAAGUUUCUGCUAUUUGUACCAACAGCUAUGCUAGAAAAAAUAAUUUUAUAUGGUGCUAACGAUUUAAUAACUAUUUUUGUAACUCCAGAAUGUUAUGAACCCGUGACCUCAAGGUUAUGCGCCUUGUGAGCAACCAAACUGCUCUACUCUUCAAUGAAGAACUGGGAUUUCGUGAUCCACUGCUGAGCUCGGACUCAAAUCAUGGGGAUCGUCAGAAUACUCCGUAUCAACAGAUAAGAUACUCGAUAUAUCAUUAUUGAUUAGAUUUGAAAUAUAUUAUUAAAUUGUUCAUUCAAUGAGCAUUCUCAAUAUUAUGCCUUGAAGAGAACUCGACCCUCCACACUCUUAGGUUAAUUUCAUCAUUUUGAUAUGUAUAAUAUUGGAAAACUAUAGCAUGCGCUAUAGCUGUCUUUCUUUCACGCGCUUUGUUCUCUCAUCGCCGUUGAAUUUUUCCGAGUCAGAUGCAUGGCAUAAGCAAAAUCCUAAUAUAGAAUCAAUGAAAACUCGCAAUUGUUAUACAAAGCAAUGCAAGAUGGGACAAAGCACGGCCUCUCGGAAGCAUCCCUCACUAUAAAUCAAACAACAUGGUAUCAUAUAUCACGCGCAGUCCAGGAUCCAUCCCUCUCAAGAUUUCAGCUGACUGAGACUCGGUAACGAUAACAUUACCCGGCUCUUGUAUUCUGAGGAACGCUCUUCCUUGUCUCUGGUUCUCACUGAAAGACUUCUUGCCACAUCACGUCAACUCUGAAAAAAAAACACACACCCUGAUGAUAGCAUGAGAAAGGACCUUGCUUUCUCCCUCAUCUGUCCCCGCGAUAGGCGUCGAAACUUUUCAUUCAUCAAGGAAGUUCUCCCUCUCAAGUCACGCAAAUGGACGAAAAACCAUUCCAGCUGUGAUACCAGCUCAGCGGUCCAAACUUUUCAUUCAUGGAGGAAGUCCACGACCCACCCCCCAAGUCACGCAAACGGACGAAAAAACACUCCAGCUCAGUGACAGCAGCUCAGCGGCACCAUCGAAGAAAAAUCAGACGAAACAGGUACCAAAAAUUAAAAAAAAAUAAAAAAGACUUUUUAUUAUUAUAUUUUUUAGUAUUUAUUUUUUAAAAAGAUUAAAAAUUAUAAACUCCGACUAAUGAAAUCGUUAGUCCUAUGAUUGAAAAAACUAUGAAAAAAAUACAGUACUUACCAAUGUAGUCGAGUAAUACAUAUAAGUAAAUAAGUUAUUUAGUAAGCCAAUAUACACAUUUAGAUAAUUUGUUAUAUAAUUUCUAUAACAUGAUGUUCAUUAUGUAUAUAAUACACAAUCAGAUGAUACAUAUUUAGCAAAUUAGUUAUCCAACAGCCCAAUAUACAUCUCCAAGUGAGUUGAUACACGGUUUCUAAAAUAUUAUAUUAACCAAUACAUACUAUAUAGUCAAUGAUACAAACUCAUUGACUUCCUGAUAUUUAUUGCAAAUCUAUUUGAUACACACCUAAUAAUGAUCCAAUACACACUUCCAAAUAAAUCGAUACACAAGUUUCAAAAUAUCAUUUUUACCAAUACGCACUAUAUGGUCAGGUAAUACACACCAAGCAAAUUAAUCAUCUCGUAAGCCAAUACAUACUUCUAAGUAUAUUGUUGCAUAGUUUUCAGAAUAUAGUAUUCAUCAGUACCGAUAUGCAGCUUUCUAGCUUUGUCUAAUAUAAAAAACUAUAUAUAUAUUAUUUCUUAAAUUCUAUGAACUCUUAGGUGCAAAGAUUAUAAAAAAGAGAGAGGAAUUUAGAGGAGGAGAAAUAGACUUGGGAUGAGAAGGAAGACCUCAUGGAUGGGAAAGAAGGCUUAAUAAGGAAGAGGAUAAGUGGAGAGGCUGAAUAAGAAAGAAAAAGAAUGUGGACGGUUUCUCUUCGUGGCCCAUAUCUCUUGGUGUGUGUAAUUUCUUUUUUUUUCUAAGUUACAAGAUUGAUGAACUUCAUUAGUAGUAGAAGUCCUAUCCCUAUUUGACUUUUGGGUUUUCUCUUUAAAAUAAGCACUACAAAAAUAUGGCAAAAUAAGAGUCUCACUCUAUAUGAUAUUCUAUAGUGUCCGCCUCAUAUAAUUCUUGUUCCAUCUAAUAGACAUUUUAAUCACCUUAGCGUAAAAAAGCAACAAAAAAAGGAAUAGAGAAAAGAGAAAGAAAAAGAAGGAGAAGCGGACCAUCUCUACCUCCUCUCCUCAUGAUGCCGCCCUCUGCCUUGAUACAAACUGCCUUAUCCCUUCAAACAGAUUCAGCCAAACGCUCCAUCUCCUCUCAGAGGAGACCGAAAGGUUGCAUGCGAAACACUAAUAGAAGUCGACAACAAGGGAAAGCAACCAUUGGAUGCUUCUCCAAUGAUGGUGGGGGACCCAAAUAUUCUAGCUGUAAUAGCCAAGGACCUCGCCUAAAAAGACUAGCCAGAAUAUAUUAUUUGAGUUCCUUAGUCUCGUAUAAAUAUCCAAAAUGUACUCAAUGCAUAACCAAUAUAAAACUAAACACAUACCUACAUAGAUUCUCAUAUACUCUCCCCCAUUUAAGCCCAGCAUCCUUGCAAGGCUAAGAGUCUAAAUUCAUUCAAAUCCAAUCACAAAUACCACGAUCAGCUAGUGGUCAGUUUUAAUGGACCCAUACUGCAGAGUCCUCUAGUCCACAUAGGCUAUGGUUUGGGACGAUUCUGAUAUCAUUUCUAACAACUCAGAACCUCACCCAAAAAGGUUAGUCAGAAUAUGUUAUUUGCAUUCUUUGAUGUUGUAUAAGAACUAAAGAUCUACCUAGUGCAUAUGUGAUGCAGGACUAAACGCACACCCACAUGAAUCCUCAAAUACUGCCUCCAUUUGAGCUUUGGCAUACUCACCAUGCUAACGGUCCAAAUCCAUUCAAAUCCAUUCAUAAAUACCACGAUCAAUCCGUAGUCAGUUCUAAUGGACUCAUGCUUUGAUAAUAUUUCUAACAACUUAGGACCUUACCCAAAAAGGCCAGUCAAAAUGUGUUAUUUGUAUUUCUUUUUUUUUUAUAUAAGUAUCCAAAAUCUACUUAUUGUAUAGCCAAUUUAGGAUUAAACACAUGCCUGCUUCUCACACCGGCGGAGUAGUUCAAGGUCCUAAUCGGGGAUGAGAUCUACCGGACGAACCUAAACACUGUCUAUGAUCAAAAGGAGGAGCACGACCUUCACCGUCCAUCAAUGAAACCGUUAGUGAAGGAGCACGACAUUCGUACCCUCUUUGUCUGCUACCAUUUCCAAAAUCUCCGUGGCCCAGAUCUGCCUCACCGUCGGGUAAGCUGCCACAAAGCGCAACGCCCUUCGUUCCUUUGCUGAUGUCCCCAUCCGUUUCGUCCAAGCCCUAGCCCGAUUGGGCAUCUCUAUCACCGUCGCUCCUGACCGGACCGAUGCUAAUCUUCUCGACUCAUCUGAGCGAUAGAAGAUCUCAGCCUCCCAUGAGGUUUUGCCAACGCGUCUAAUCCGACGAGACCGCUUCUAAGAUCAAGCAUUUUAAGAGAGCUAAUGACAUACGUCCAAUUGGUGGAGGAUGGAGGCAAUUCCUUUCCCGAGGCCGAUUUGAUGCGAACCCGUGAGAUCUAUGAUUUUGUCUAGCUUCACAUAAAUCAGGUAGCAUUUUACUGAUGCAGUGUACCAUACCACCAGGCUAAGCUAGCCCAUCAAGUGCAGGAUAUAAUUUCUCAGGUAAUAGGCCUUAAAUAUUCUAGAGCAGAGGGUGGCACCUACCCAUGCCACUGGUGCCCCUUGAAUCCAGCCAAUUACUGUGGCCGAGUCACCCUCGAGUAGGACUGUUAUGGCUCACAGAACAUGCCGUGCAUAAUAUCACCAGCCCAUGCCGCCCUCAGUUCCGCCCCCGAAAUAGAGGUUUCAAAGAUCUGGCACUCGCUAGCAGCAACCACCUUAAAGUCCGAGCCUAUAAUGAUGAAGUCUGCACCACCUCUUCUGUCAGCAUCAAGUAUGUAUCUAUCAAAGUUGAUCUUAAGAAAAACAUCAUCCAAGAUAUUACAAAAGCAGAAGUAAAGCCCCAUGUGCCCUAAAUCUAUGAUUUUGUCUAGCUUCACGUAAAUGGGGCAGCAUUUAUGAUUUUGUCUAGCUUCACAUAAAUGGGGCAGCAUUUUAGUGAUACGUGUACCAUUUCCAUCAGGUGGAGGAUAUAAUUUAUCGGCUGAUAGGCCUUGAAGCUUUUCAUUCAUCAAGGUAGUCCUUCCGAUUCACGUAAAUGGACAAACAAAACACUCCAGAUUUUUUUAGGCAAUCAUGGGACCACCUAUCUUUAACUAAGACAUUGACCAAGGUACCUUUCAAUUCCCACUAGUUUUACACAACUUCAAAGCUUUCUUCAAUAAGAACAAACUGAAUACAAAGACGAAAAGUUUCACAAACCAUCUAGAUUUUAAUUGCCACUAAAAUGGCUUUGUUGCUAAUUAUUCACCACCAAAAUUAACCUCACCAAAGACGCAGAAAACACAGUAAAGUAGGCACACAUCGAACAUCGUAUGAGUCAAGGCCAGAACCAAUAGGGCUGGUCCUCGACAGGGAACCUGUAAUUAUUCAAAUUGUCUUCAAGCCUCAGGAAGCCAGAACCUUUGACCUCAUCAACCUCUCCGGCAUGCGAGAGAUCAGAUCGAUCAGGUUCGAAAGCAUGGAAAGAAUCCACAGGCUCCAUCAGCGUAGAGCGAUCUACUUCGUCAAUGUAGGGAGGGCUCCCGGAGUCUAACACAGUGCUGUUGGCGGAGCUGAGGUCCUCUUGCUUGCAUACUGUGACUCGGGCAUCUACUCUUUUCACCUCGCGCAUGGCAUCCGGGACUAUGUUCUGCAAUUCGUGAGGAGGCAAUUUGUUGCAUUCAAAUGGUGCCGAGCUGCCGAUAUCCUUCUCUUUGAGGAAGACCUUGUUUGUGAGAGAGAGAACCUGUCAAGAAGAAGCUCCAGUUGAUGAGGGUAAUGGUUCCAUAAUUUAGAAUACUAAGCUAACAAAAUAUCAGUCCACUGAACAGAUGAAUAGAGACAGGAUAUAUACUGUGUCAAACUUUCCUUUCCUUUCCUUUCAGCAUUAUACAUGACAUGUCUCAACAAUCUACCGCUUUCCUUAGUAGCACUUAGCAAAAUGACACAGAAAAAAAUAAAAACACUAGUGAUUUAGCUAGAAGCGUUAGGAUUCACACCUUUCUAGACCUUAACAUUAUCUAGGCAUCACAAGUAAUUCAUAGAAUUAGAUUAGUUUGUUGAAACUUGAAACAUCCAAGAUAUGCAGUAUGCCAUCCUAGACAGUUGCAAAAUGUCAACCAACCUCUCCAUAUAUAAAGAGAAGAAUUUUACACUGCUAGACUAUGUUUAGGUGUCAUUUAAUAAACCACUGUCUUCAACAACAGCUGAUAACUUUAUGAAACAAACGCAAUAGAUUCGAAGUUAGAGGAACUAAUUAAGAAAUAGAUACGGUUGGCAGACCAGAAGCAGUGGUUUUGAAGCAUAUCAAAGAACUAAAUGCUUUGUGAAAGUUCUGAAUGGAUUACCUCGGCUUGAAGUUUCUCCUUCUCAUCGAGCAGGUUAUCGUAAUCAGCCUUGAGGACAUCAUAACUAGAUUUCAGGGCCUCGUAGUCCUUCUCCAGUUGCUUUGUCUUCCACCGAGCACGGCGAUUUUGAAACCAUAUUGCGACCUGUCUGGGCUGUAGCCCGAGAUCCCUUGCAAGCUGAGCUUUCCUCUCUGGCUCAAGCUUGUUUUCAAGCUCAAAACUACUCUCGAGGAACUGGACUUGGUCAGCUGUAAGCCUUCUCUUCUUUUCUGGGCGGUGAACACCCUCGUCCAAGUCCUCGUCGCCAGUUUCUUCCAACUCGAAUGGUCUGCAGAAGGACCAUUCAGGCCUCUGCCCAUGGACAUCUUCAAAAUUCAUCACAGACCUUGAGCCUGAGAGAGAAAUGUUUUAGACUUUUUUAUAUAUUAAAGUAUUAUUAUCAACAAAAAUUGACGGCAACUAUCCAGCUAUAUAUAUAUAUAUAGUUGCUAUUAACAAAAAAUAAUAAUAAUAGAACUAUAGAUAUAUACAANNNNNNNNNNNNNNNNNNNNUUCAAGCUCAAAACUACUCUCGAGGAACUGGACUUGGUCAGCUGUAAGCCUUCUCUUCUUUUCUGGGCGGUAAACACCCUCGUCCAAGUCCUCGUCGCCAGUUUCUUCCAACUCGAAUGGUCUGCAGAAGGACCAUUCAGGCCUCUGCCCAUGGACAUCUUCAAAAUUCAUCACAGACCUUGAGCCUGAGAGAGAAAUCUUUUAGACUUUAUUCUAUAUUAAAGUAUUACCAUCAACAAAAUUGACGGCAACUAUCCAGCCAUAUAUAUAUAUAGUUGCAUUCAAAAAAUAAUAAUAAUGAACUAUAGAUAUAUCAAUGGAGAAAGAUAUUUCAUUGUAUAUCAGAUUUCUGAGGCAAAAAAAAAGGUCUAUAAUGAUGCAACACAUCAUAACUUUUUGAUGCUAAAUGAAUUUAUGAAAGCAAAUAGAUUGUGUUACUUGCAUCAAGGAAUUUAUAAGAGCUGCAUAGGCGCAACUUCUUUCACCAUAGAAAAAUAUCAGGAAAACCAAUACAAGAGAACUUUUAAAUGACUUUUUUUCCCUUCCUUCUCCCAGAAAAAUGUUAAAUCUAGGGCAAUAAUAUGAUCACAAAGUCUUUCACCAGCAUGUACUGAGGUUUCUUGAAAAGGUAGGUAGUUGAAAACAGGGCAAAGGCAGAGGUAAAGCAACUCAAAUUUUUAAAGGGGAAAAAAACUCAGAAAGAAAAGUUAAAGGAGAAUAUUAGGUGUUCAUAAUCAUAGCAGGAUAAAUGGUAAUAGAUCACUGUUCAGACUUUGAAAUCAUAACAAAACGAGGGAGAAAAAAAUGAUAAAAUGAAUUCUUUUUGAAUGAAAGGGAGGCAGAGGAAAAUAGCCACCCGAAACAGAGACUAAUCCCUGAAAAAGUUGUGCUUAUACGUGAGAGAUCCAAUCUGCCGCAAUGCUUCAAUGACCAACUGAAUUUAGAUCAACAUGACAAACCUUCAAUUAUAUUAAGAAUUCCAGCUGAGUUGCAGUGGCCGAUUGAAGAUUAGUAAUUAUUGAAACAAGCUAACUCUAAAAACUGGGAGUCCCGAAAGACCAAAUUAUGUGAGAAAUUCCGGGUGACCAUGUCAGAAAUAUUGCUAGAAGCAAGACCAAAUUAACCGAGUGAUUGGAAACAUUAACAGGGAUAAAAAAAUAAAGCAUACAAAUCAUCAAAUAUGGCAACUUGAACUGUAGUAUAGAGGAAAUAUGAAAGCCCUUGACAUGUUAAGAGGAAAUCAAACCCUGAGCAGCAUUGGAAGAGGCAUAGUCUGUUUGCUCUAGUGGACCAACAGUUUUUGCAUGACUACAAACUUGGAUCCAGAAAUCAAAGAAAGCCAAAGAAACCUUCUAAAAUUAAAAACAGAGAGAAUAACAGGGACGGAGAGAGAGAAAGAGAGAUGUUACCGGGAAAUCCUCCAUGAGAAGUCCCCGAAGAGAGCAGGGGCUCAAUAGCCUCGGAGGAAAUCCAAUUAUUCCGGAGCAAAACCGCCAUACUCGAACCCUCAUAAGACCUUCUUCCCGCCAUCUNNNNNNNNNNNNNNNNNNNNNNNNNNNNNNNNNNNNNNNNNNNNNNNNNNNNNNNNNNNNNNNNNNNNNNNNNNNNNNNNNNNNNNNNNNNNNNNNNNNNNNNNNNNNNNNNNNNNNNNNNNNNNNNNNNNNNNNNNNNNNNNNNNNNNNNNNNNNNNNNNNNNNNNNNNNNNNNNNNNNNNNNNNNNNNNNNNNNNNNNNNNNNNNNNNNNNNNNNNNNNNNNNNNNNNNNNNNNNNNNNNNNNNNNNNNNNNNNNNNNNNNNNNNNNNNNNNNNNNNNNNNNNNNNNNNNNNNNNNNNNNNNNNNNNNNNNNNNNNNNNNNNNNNNNNNNNNNNNNNNNNNNNNNNNNNNNNNNNNNNNNNNNNNNNNNNNNNNNNNNNNNNNNNNNNNNNNNNNNNNNNNNNNNNNNNNNNNNNNNNNNNNNNNNNNNNNNNNNNNNNNNNNNNNNNNNNNNNNNNNNNNNNNNNNNNNNNNNNNNNNNNNNNNNNNNNNNNNNNNNNNNNNNNNNNNNNNNNNNNNNNNNNNNNNNNNNNNNNNNNNNNNNNNNNNNNNNNNNNNNNNNNNNNNNNNNNNNNNNNNNNNNNNNNNNNNNNNNNNNNNNNNNNNNNNNNNNNNNNNNNNNNNNNNNNNNNNNNNNNNNNNNNNNNNNNNNNNNNNNNNNNNNNNNNNNNNNNNNNNNNNNNNNNNNNNNNNNNNNNNNNNNNNNNNNNNNNNNNNNNNNNNNNNNNNNNNNNNCACCAGCUGAUAUUCUCCGAUCAAAAUAUCAAAAUCUCAGACGGAUAUGAUAAAUAUUAGAUUAAAACUGUAUUUAAAUAUUAAUUAAAAAAUAAAUUGGAGAAAGUAAUAAAUAAUUGAAAAUUUUUGGUCAUUAUAAAUAUAUUAUAUCAAUCAUGGAUUUAUAUUGAUCGAAUUAAUAGAGCUAGAAUUUUUGUAUAUAGUAUACCAGGGUAUCCAAAUAGGGUACAAACUAUAGCUCGGAGAUCUAAAUCUUGCCAAAAAUAUAUCAUAAAUUUGCUUAAUGAUAGCCUCAAUCAAAUAUGAUACGAGAUAAUUGAUGUAAAACUGUUAAACUAAUAUUAGCAGGUUGGAGAAAUUUAUGUCUUUCUAUAAUGGAAGCAUUAUUUCUUUGCCAAGUGUUUGCAUGGUAUAUUUUUAGAAAUUUCUACAUUGUAAUUCCUUCACUGUUUUUUUUAGAUUUUUUUGAUGGCACUUGGUUUAUUUUUAGAUUUCACUUGAACAUGAAGAAAUGUGGUGGUCUAAAUAGAUAGCACCAUAGAAAGAAAUAAAAAUGACAAUAUAAAACAUUAAUAACCCUUGGAGCAAUUAUCCAAGAAAUGAAACGAAAAUGCCAAAAACGUGCUUGCAAUAACGAAGAUAACGAUUGAAGCACGGUUUUAAUAAAUUUGAGCAAUGGUUAGAAGUGGCUUUCUCCUAAUGAAGGCAUCCAUUGGAGGGUAGAGGAAUCCAUUCUAGUCUAACAAGGUGCAACAAAUUAUAGGUUUGUUUUAAGAAUUGUGCAAAUCAUUUCAGUACCCUAAUAAUUAGGAUUGUAUUCGAUAUUGUUGUCAGGUAAUCUAUACAUUCAGAUAUAUACCAACCAACAAACUCCAAACUUCAUUGGAAGAAUUUAAGCAUUUACUAAUUAAUGCUAAUGAUUUGUGCGUGAAUCACAAGAAAAAAAUCUUUUUUUUUCUUGGUUAUAUUGUUGUCUAAAAUUAGAAGCAGAAUUCCGCCUCUUAAAUACUUAUGCUCAAAAAAGUACACGCACUACGGCAACACGUCAACUUUCUCCUACUAGUUGCUUGCUGGUCUCGAUUCGAAGACCAUUUCAUAGAAGUUUAUUAAUAUCUCCUUUUGAUCAAGCAAAUCGACUUGAGUAGCUUUUUUUUUUUUUAUCCUUGCGGGAAGAAGUAAGAGUAAGGAUUACUAUUUUUGUUGAGCAAGGCAACAAUGUGCAACUUGUUUUAGGCUACUCGGAUUGAACUUUCAUUGGGUACAUAGAAAUAUAAUGGUUAAAAUAAAAGUAUAAAUAACGCAUAUGUCGAUCUGGAUUAUAAUAUGCUAGUAAUAAGUGUUCACUAGUAAGGGAUAGCAUGGCCAAUUCCAGGAAAAGUUUUCAAAAAUCAUUCGCUGGAAAAGAGAAACAAGAUGCAAAGAAGGCCAACUUUCCAUAGGCCGCAGGAUAAGUUGGGGAGAAAAGGUGGGAGCGUACAAUUUAAUCAUGGCAAAGGAAGGACAAGACUGAGAUGAAAAAGGGGGCAUAUUAAAGGCCAAAGGUUGACAACAAAUAAAACCAAUCUAGGCCACAUGGAGCUUGUUUUCUAUUAGCAAAAUUAUCCACCGUUGUUGGUGGUUUCCAAUCAUGUUCGAUGACUGAAAACUUUUUUCCACUUUGUGCGACAAAAGCUUGCUGUUGUAGCUGCCAAACCGGACAUUGGAAAGGCCUGUGAUGAGAGGAAUCCAAACCAUUUCCGAGGUGAACUUUGGCCAUGAAUGAAUUGCCUGCACUGUAUUCCUAAGCCUUUUUAGAGUACGCUCGAUUUCAAGGAAUUCACUAGUGAUUAUUGAAUUUUAAUUAGAGCCAGGCUUGAACCGUGAAUCCUAAAUUGUUGUCGGCUCCAAUUUAGAAAUAAAGUUUCCUAACAUCGAUUUCAAAGGUUUUUUUUCGUUCGUGAUCAAAAAUGGAAUCGGAGUGGAUUAGAAUAGAAAUGAGAAUCAAAAUGGUCAUAUCUCCAACGUAUUUAGUUCAAGAAUAAAAUCAAAGUCGGAACUAGAAUGAGAUUUGAAUAUCAUAGAAGAGUCCACGUGAGACUUUAGAAGAUUGGGGCAUUUCUCAUUGGCCACUAAAAUCGAAAUAGGAAUGAAACUUUUUUCAACUAAAUGAAUAGGAGAGGAGUUAUUCAUUCUCAUCUCAAAGCUCAACUCUCUACAACCAAACAUGCCCUAAAUAUUCUAAUGGACAGGAAAGCUUCUAUAUGCAAUUAAGUAUUAGACUUGUGUGGAACCAUUAAUGACAGCAUGAACUAAAACAUCUGCUGCCUAGGUUCAUUAAGAGAAAAUUUCUGCUUUCUAUAGCCCAGAUGGCACAUUUUUCCUGCAGCAUGAAUGGGAAAUUUCUUCUUUAACUAGAUCCAUCACUAAUUUGGUGAGAGUUUAAACAAGCAAAUCAUCUGAAUCCCCUUAUCUUAAGAAGAUAACUAUCCGAACGCAACUAUCUAUCAAGUCGAAUAAUCAUUUCUUCAACAUACCAAGGAGUGGUCAAGUGGGAUUAUGAGAAUUCAAAGACGUAUCACUUUAAAGAUGCCUAGUGUACGUUUGCGAUGCGUGGAAGGUAAUGCAUUUUGUGUACAUUACUUUACGACUCAACGGGAAAAUUUGGUCUGGGAACUAAAGCGAGUUUUGUUUAGUAGGGAUUCUAAAUGAAACGGUUACCAAAAUUCAAAAUUCAAAGGUCAGAAGAGUGCUACAAAAAGAGUUUGCAAGAACCUCCUUUUAGAAGGCGACCUAGACCACAAAAACUGUACGUGCCGGCUUGAAAUUCUUGCCAACAUUGUUAGACUACCGUUGAAUUCAUCCAUCGAGAAAUACUUUAGUUAUAACAUAAAAUUCUUGCUUUUUUUGAAUAAAAAAUAAAUUUUGUAAAACAGCUCAAAAGGUGGCUAAGUUGCAUGAUUGCCGGUUGAAAAAAGAUUAACGAGUAAAUCACACAAUACUAAGUACUCAUGUGAUUAUUUUAUGCACGUACAGGAUAUCAAAUAAUCCUCCAAGAUGCUUAGGCUAUCAACACUUUAAUUUUUUUUGAGGUAAAAGGAGGCAAAAUGAGCCACCUGACUUUUAUUAAAAAUUAAUCAUAGAGAUGAAGGGCGGAGAUGAAUUUAUCAAGAAAAGGAAGGAAUGAAAAAAUUGAAGCUAAAUGGCUCCAAACAAUCAGAACAAAAAAUGUUGAUGCUCGUAAGAAGAAGCUGGCAAAAAAAAAAUUAUAUUCAGACUAACAAGUAAGAACAUUUAUUGUCUGAAAAAAAAUAUUUAAUUCAAUUAUAUUUAACCGUUCACAUUAAGAUGCCACUUAUCCAGAUUUUAUUGUUACAAUUUCUUCCAAGUACCGCCAACUUUAGUUGCUCGGUGCUACCGUAUCACACCACAGCCUAAUCUCUUGAGCUCCAAUCGUAGCCCGGGACCGUUAAGUGUGACCCUCCGGCUGCGAAAUGGCUCGAGCCACGACAGCCGUUCUGUCAACUUGCGAGCGUACCUGGCGACAUGCCAGAUUCGAAAACGAUGCCACAUGGCACAAAUUUGUUUUGCGCUUGCACGGUCGUGUCGUAUAAGACGUCGGCAUCUUGGACACGUGGCAGAUCUUAAUAGACUAAAUGGAGGUGGACGUGGGAGAUGAAGGCAAUAAUAUCGUUUUAUUUAUUUAUUUAUUUUUUUGGUUCUCACGAGCUCUUUUUAAUCCCAUUAGCGGGCAGAUCUUUGCCUUGAGGUAUGUAUCCAGUGCCACGUCUACCGAGGACUUACGUCCUCGCUUUUCCACACGUGCCUUCCCGUGCGUCACGAGUGGCUGCUUCCUCCAAAGCCAAGCCUUGUGUCCAUGGUCCAUGGCGUAAAAAUCCCACCAGCUCGCUUCCAUUCGCAUCUUGGAAUUCAAGAGACUCUUCUAUGGUUUUGUUGAUCCAACCCAGUGGGAUCGGACGGUGGAGCUGGUGAAUGAUGGGCGGGCCAAUUAUGCUCAGAUUGUGUCCGUUGGGAUAGAUUAUCCUGCUCAAAGUUGAAUGUCCGACCUGCAAAUAAGAAAAAUAAAUAUCUAAAAUGUCUAAGUUAGACCAAGUUUUUAAGAAAUAGUGAAGAUUCGCGAAAGCUAUAGAUGAAGUAAGCAAGAGUAGCAUAGCAUAAGUGUAGCUGAAGGUUCAUCGAGUCUAAUAUAUAUAGAGAUGAGGGCGUAGGAUAGUUAUUUAGUAAAGUCGAGACAACUUGUAACCAUCUCGCAACAUAUCUCAACAAUGCACGGGGCUAUAACUAUCCCUUUAAUAGAUUUAACGGUCUUAAAUGCAUUUUGAAUCGGAGACAUAGUUUGUUGCUGCUAGUCGGUCUAUCUGGUCAGAUGAUCUAGUUGGCAGUUCGGUUGCCAGUUACAAACCGAUAAAUCCAAGCCACAUCAAGUUUCAUAAGCUAAAUUUUAAAUAUAUGUGGUAGGUUUGGCCGGGCGUAAAAAGAGCUCCUAACUUGGGCAAUGCACAUUUCCACACAAUAUUUCCAUUUUGAGGAUGAACAACUAAGAAUAUAUACAUCACUGAUCAAAGUGACGUGGAAACCUAUUUUGAUCGAGCAGGGGCAUUACUCGAUGGAUCUCUUUUCUUGGGGAGUCUAAUAUGAAGGGAAAUACAAAAAGUGCAUUUCAUUUAAGAAUUAAUGUGCACCUAUUAAUCAUCUCUGCCAUUGUAAAUAAAAAAAAUUCUUCCACAUAUAACAUUCACAUCAACUGCAUGAAGUUUCUUUUUGUGUUACAUACAAAUGGAUGCAGUUUUCGGCUUUUUUCUAUAAAAAAAAAAUAUUUAUGCCGAAUAAUGUAUUCGUGAUGCCUGAUUAGCACAAUGAUUACUAGUCUAUGAGGAGGAAAGUACCAAUGAGAAUUUAAAACCAACUCCAAAAUUCAUUAGGUCUAGCGUAACACAUCAAGACACACUUGUAAUACCUCUAUAGAUUUGGUAAAGGUGAAAGUCCCCUUAACGUUAGGGGCUAACCACUGAGCUCACUUUGGCCUUGUGGGUGCAAGCUGGAGCAGCCAUAGCUUAUGGUUAGAACAAUAGGAGGGGGGCCCAACAGAGAUUCGCUCGCCGAGCGAAUGGCAGGAGCAGCAGGCAAGUGCUUGGUAGGCCAACAACUCAAUGAGUCGCACUCGAUGAAAGAGAGCCACACCGAGCAAAUAUGAUAAAUUAGCCUACUCUGCUUUUUUAAAUAAAAGUAAGGACUGCUGGGGGAAGCCACAAGAACUUUACAUGCAUCAUGAGGGUACAGUGUCUCAUGUUUGGCUUCCGCUAAUGCUAUAUUAUUGGAUCUACUCUUGUCCCAAUAAUUAAAAGAGACCAGGAUAAGGAUAUUUUGGUCAAUGCAGCCAGUAUAAAUGAUGAAUUCAUAAUUCUUAAUUUCGGGUAAUGGAAUACAUAUAUAGACACACACACACACACACAAGAACAAGGGUAUCUUCGUCCAUCGGGACGCGGUGGAUGUGUGAGGCUCCAAGUGAGGUUGAAGGGACGCAGCGUCGACAUCGGGGGAUGGAGGUCGGAAUCCAGAGUGAGGAAAGGGACGCGCCGUGUGCUGACUCAUCCUCCCUCCCUUGUUCUUUUAUGCAACCGGAGCGACCGAGUCUGCGUCGCUUCAUGGGCCCCCUAAGCCCAUUAAUGGUCCCCCACGGCUGAGCCCACUCGGACCGGCAUCGAACGGACCACCUUUGGAUUCCUAAACUCGUGGAUCGAAGACGAGGCUUUGUGGGCUUCUUGGUGGUGGAUUUUAGAACAGUCCAUGUCCAUCGCUUGGUUGGAAUGCACGGACUCGUUUCCUUUGCCGUAUCAAAGAAUGUGGCCAUUCUCAUCAAAGAUUCGGAAUUCGUAGCUGCUGGUAUGAAAGCUUGACGGACUUGUCCAAACUUACCUCCACUCUUUAUUGGUGUGGGGGGUGUUGCUGCCAAAAUCCGAGCCGAGAUUGGUCCCCGCCCAAGAUGAAAAGUGGAGCAUGAUACUAAGGUGAAAAGUGGAUCGGCCUAGAGUUGGAAAAUAUUGACUUUGCUGGUGGUACUCAUGUUAGACUUGCGUGAGCUACUGUUGUACAAAAAAAAAAAGUCGGAAAAUAACUUCGAGACGAAGGAGAACUAAUAUCGCUGUUCGGAAGACGAAAAUGAUCUAGUAAAGAAAGUNNNNNNNNNNNNNNNNNNNNNNNNNNNNNNNNNNNNNNNNNNNNNNNNNNNNNNNNNNNNNNNNNNNNNNNNNNNNNNNNNNNNNNNNNNNNNNNNNNNNNNNNNNNNNNNNNNNNNNNNNNNNNNNNNNNNNNNNNNNNNNNNNNNNNNNNNNNNNNNNNNNNNNNNNNNNNNNNNNNNNNNNNNNNNNNNNNNNNNNNNNNNNNNNNNNNNNNNNNNNNNNNNNNNNNNNNNNNNNNNNNNNNNNNNNNNNNNNNNNNNNNNNNNNNNNNNNNNNNNNNNNNNNNNNNNNNNNNNNNNNNNNNNNNNNNNNNNNNNNNNNNNNNNNNNNNNNNNNNNNNNNNNNNNNNNNNNNNNNNNNNNCCGAACCGACCAGCAUAACAUAUCGGUCAAUACCGAAGUUAUCUACCUCGAUCAAGGCCGAGAUCAUGGAGAUCGGACAAUCCGAAAUCAAGAUGAUUAAUAUUCUCUCCAACAUGGAAGAAAUGAGACCCUCAAGAGAAAUAGGGGUUGGGUACUUAGAAAUGGUCUAUUGGUCUCCAUGGAUAUGUUUUCCUUAAAAUAAAAUAUAUAUUCUAAUUGGUUUAGCUUUUGCGACAAGAGAAGAUGCGACAAGAGAAAUGUACUCGCUAAAGAAAAAAAGGUUGAGUCAUGGAAUCAUAGGCUCACAGCCAUCUACUCGUACUGCCAAUCUGCAAACUAUCAGCUUUUAUACCUGCGUUAAUUAACUUUAUCACAGCUUUUCUAAGUGCCAGUCUGCCCGUGUUCACGGUAUCAAGGAGAGCGAAUCGGGCUGAACGUGAGAAAAAGCUUGGCAUGAUUUGUGGCCGAAUUUUCGAAGAGAAAGAUGUGGAGGCGGCCCAGGCCCAUAAGGCCCAUAAGGCAUGAUUUUUGGCCGAAUUUUCUUUUCUCCAAAAACAAAAAGGGACUAAGAAGGGUUCAAGCACCAUUUGGCUCAUGAGUCCUGAAGGAAAUGAUAGUAGCUCGUUGUUUUAUAGGCUUUCUCAUAUUCAGUCGGAAGAGUUUAGGUAAAAUUGUAUUACUUUAUUAUUACUUAAUUAUUUAUUAUUACUAUUACUCUAUUAAUAGUUAUUUAACUUAUUCCUACAUUACUCCAUCUAGGUUAAAGCUCAAGCUUGGAGUAGACCGAGUCAAGAUUGGGGCUUCUUCUUUUCGUGGCCAUUCUCAUCAAAGAUUCGGAAUUCGUAGCUGCUGGUAUGAAAGCUUGACGGACUUGUCCAAACUUACCUCCACUCUUUAUUGGUGUGGGGGGUGUUGCUGCCAAAAUCCGAGCCGAGAUUGGUCCCCGCCCAAGAUGAAAAGUGGAGCAUGAUACUAAGGUGAAAAGUGGGUCGGCCUAGAGUUGGAAAAUAUUGACUUUGCUGGUGGUACUCAUGUUAGACUUGCGUGAGCUACUGUUGUAAAAAAAAAAGUCGGAAAAUAACUUCGAGACAAAGGAGAACUAAUAUCGCUGUUUGGAAGACAAAAAUGAUCUGUAAAGAAAGUCUACUUGACGAAAGAUUUCUAGCGGAGGAUCUUCUGAUGUUUAAAUUAGUAGAGAUCUAAAACAACAGUUGGAGAAAGAGAGAGAAUGAGUGUAGAAAAAUGCUCGAAAGUGCUUACAUGGUGUUCCUUGGUAACCUCCAUAUAUAGCAUAAGGUGAGGAUUCGUUACCUUAAUUGUCGGGAGGUGCGAUAACUGCAUAGUGAUAGCUGGCCUCUUAUGUUUAAUACAUGGUAAUGCUCCUUGCGAUAUGUUUGCGGUAUAAAUUGCGCCGAUUGUGUAUUUAUGGCCGAGCUGGAUUGACUGUUGCCUAGACCAUAAUUGCAACUUCUUUGAUGAUUCUUGGUGUUACUCUACAGCCGAACCGACCAGCAUAACAUAUCGGUCAAUACCGAAGUUAUCUACCUCGAUCAAGGCCGAGAUCAUGGAGAUCGGACAAUCCGAAAUCAAGAUGAUUAAUAUUCUCUCCAACAUGGAAGAAAUGAGACCCUCAAGAGAAAUAGGGGUUGGGUACUUAGAAAUGGUCUAUUGGUCUCCAUGGAUAUGUUUUCCUUAAAAUAAAAUAUAUAUUCUAAUUGGUUUAGCUUUUGCGACAAGAGAAGAUGCGACAAGAGAAAUGUACUCGCUAAAGAAAAAAAGGUUGAGUCAUGGAAUCAUAGGCUCACAGCCAUCUACUCGUACUGCCAAUCUGCAAACUAUCAGCUUUUAUACCUGCGUUAAUUAACUUUAUCACAGCUUUUCUAAGUGCCAGUCUGCCCGUGUUCACGGUAUCAAGGAGAGCGAAUCGGGCUGAACGUGAGAAAAAGCUUGGCAUGAUUUGUGGCCGAAUUUUCGAAGAGAAAGAUGUGGAGGCGGCCCAGGCCCAUAAGGCCCAUAAGGCAUGAUUUUUGGCCGAAUUUUCUUUUCUCCAAAAACAAAAAGGGACUAAGAAGGGUUCAAGCACCAUUUGGCUCAUGAGUCCUGAAGGAAAUGAUAGUAGCUCGUUGUUUUAUAGGCUUUCUCAUAUUCAGUCGGAAGAGUUUAGGUAAAAUUGUAUUACUUUAUUAUUACUUAAUUAUUUAUUAUUACUAUUACUCUAUUAAUAGUUAUUUAACUUAUUCCUACAUUACUCCAUCUAGGUUAAAGCUCAAGCUUGGAGUAGACCGAGUCAAGAUUGGGGCUUCUUCUUUUCGAGAGCUGUACCGAGAGUCGAUGCCUUGCAAAAUCAAUCCUCGAUCUUUUUCCUAAAAUGGCAAGAGAUGGAACCAUUCGAGACAAAAUUCGGUAAUCUAUAAUAUUGAGUUUUGAUUUUAUGUUAAUUGUAUCUUUGAGAUGCACCUGAUUGCCUCUAUGGCACUAUGUACAAUAUAAGAUAUUUUUUUUGUGGUAAAUAUAUAAGACAUUUCUUUUAAUUGGCCUUUAGGUUUUGUUUGCAAUACCAUCAUUUUAAAUUUUGGUUGUACUUUAACCAAAAUCGAACCAAUUACAUUUAUGUCUUCCUUGAAAAAAAGAAUCAUUGUAUUUAUCCAUACAUUAGCAUAGAUGUUACUAGAAGAAUGCAAAUAUGCCACAAAAAGAAAUAAGAAAAUGUCACUAAGCUGGACACAUAUGAUGAUUUGUAGGGCACCGUAGGUGUAAGUGAAUAAUUUGUCGCAUUCUUGCGUAUUUAUCAGCGACUAAGGUAAUUUAGCAAGGAUUUUGUUCGUGAAAUAGUUAUGCAACUGACAUGCAACUUUAUAAUCAAUCUCCCCUCUUUUAAUUGAUUGUAUGUAAGGUUACAAGAUGUUAAUGCGAGUGGCAAUAUAUUGCAUAGAAAGGUUAAAAGAAAAUUAAUUCUUGACACUUGUUUUGCAGGCCAUUUUGGCAAUCAGCUAGGCUUGUUACAGAAUAUUUAAUCACCAUGCACUGCGCUUGUCAAUUUAAGUUUUGGCUUGCGGUCAUGCACACAGGAAGCAAAGGUGUCCUCACUGUGAAACAUCUCGUAAAUGAAGGGCUGGGAUUUUAUCUUUUCCUGAGUAGACUGCAUACCCUCCAACCAAGUCACCUUGAAUCUGAAAAUAUAAAUAAGUAAUCUUCCCUCUUUUAAUUGAUUCUAGAUAAGGCUACAAUCGUUAAUGUGAGUGGUAAGAUAUUACAUAGAAAAAAGUUAAUAAAAAUUAAUUCUCGACACUUGCUUUUCUAGUCAUAUUCACAAUCGGCUAGGGACGACAAUAGAUUGGAUAUGGAUCGGAUCGGACAAUAUCCGUACCCACCCCACAAUUAAAACCUUCAUAUCUAUACCUACCUCAGGCCGGGUAAAGUAGACAGUGUCGUUCGGUAGAUAAGAUGGAUCGGAUUGGGUCGCAUUAACUCAUCAUGCAAAUAUUCUAAAAUUAUUGUAACUUUGGAAGGAGGGAUUUAGAUUAAGGUUAUAUUGAGUCUAUUUCCGCACCUGAACUUGUUUCAAAUAUUUUUCGAGAACACAUACCUACCCCGGUAUUUAAAAAUAUCUAACGAGUUGGAUAAAACCGGUCCUAUUUGAAUUAGGUAAGAUUAGAUAUAGAUGCAUCGGCUACAAUUACCAUCUCUACAAUCAGCUAGGUUUGUUUUGUGAGUAAACAAUCAGCUAGGUUUGUUUUUUGGGUAAAUAAUCAGCUGGGCUUGUUAUAGAAAAGGUGUCCUAAUUGUCAAACAACUUACAAAUGAAGAGCUGGGAUUUUUUUUUUCCCCUGAGUAGUUGGCUGUAAUCGGAGCAUGUCAAUUAAUACCCCCUAAAGAAUGCACCCUGAAACAGAGCAUAUGAGUUUAUAUAUACGUGCGGUAACGCGCUUUUCCGGGUUCAAUUUGGUAGGUCGGGACAGGGAGGCAAAAGAGGAAGGGAUACGGGCCAUAAAUAAUGGGGAGAGAAAAGACAAAACAACGUGCUGCCGAGUGGGAUCAAAGACACGCAACCUGGGCGCGUCCCGUCCUCCAAUCUGCCGUCCGUACCAUCCACAUAGGACCAUCCAAGCCGUUCGUUUCUCGUCAUUACGGAACAAACUCGACGCGUGAGCUUCACGCGAUAAUCGGGCGGCAGCGAUGCACGAAUGGACAGAACCAACGGCAGAUCGUUUUCCGCAUAAUAUCUUUACGCGGACGCGUGGAAGAUUUCCGCCUCCACUCUCUGCCUCGUUCUUGGCUCAAUAUUCCCACUGCCCGCCCUGCCCGCUUUUGCCGCUUGUCACCUGCCCCUGCAUCUUUUUCCCUGCUGCCCGAACUGCCCGCACUUUACCACCCCCCAGCCCCCCAGACUUCCAUACUUCCCCUGUCUCGUCCCUCUUUGUUCUACUCCAAAAGCCAUCACCCUCGCUCCUCUCGUUCUCUUGCUCUCUCUCUAAACCCUCUCUCNNNNNNNNNNNNNNNNNNNNNNNNNNNNNNNNNNNNNCCAAUGCCGGCGACCUCCGGGAGCUGGGACGGCUUCCGGAGCCCUUCUCCGCUUCUCCCACCCCCCGCCGGCUUCCUUCGGGCGGCGCUCCGAGUGGUGCUCUGAUCGCCGGCGGCCGGAGCCUGUUCUUUUCGCCGGGAGCAGGUCGGCUUCUAGGUUCCGUGCGGUACCCGCGGGAGUGUUCGCUAGGGUUCCGGAGGCUCCGAGAGGAAAAUUCUGAGGUACGGGGUGGUUUCAAGAUCUCGGCAUCGGGUUAUCUUGUUGGGUUCUCUUAUUUUAUUUUAGGGUUACUAGUUCCAAUCAUUUGGUCGGAAUCCCGAGGGUUUGUUAUUUGGAGGGUUUUGCUGUUGAUCUCGGAAGAGAUGGGAUUGGGGCCCGAGGCGGCUGAAGUGGUGUCCCGGGAGAGUGAUGGGAAAUCGGAAGGAAGGAACGGCAAGAACGAGAAGAAGAAGUGGAGGACGCGAUGGACGUGGGUCAAGCUUCGUUUGAUUGCGUGCUUCAUCUCGAGAUCGAAAGUGGAUACGUCUGUUAGCGGCGCCAGCACUCUUUGCGGUAACUUCCUCAAAAAUGUAGACUGUUUGAUCAAUGCUUUUCUUGAAUUUACGGCUUAUUAGCAUUUUGAAUUUUCUAUUUCUAGGAAAUAUUGCUAUUCUUGGUUAUUAUUAUUCGAAUUGCUUUACGAUCUAUGGGAAAUUAUGCAGGGAGAACUGCUAAGUUUGUUUCCCUAUAGGCAUUUGUUUUAUUUCGGUAAAUAAGAUUGUUUAGGUAGAAGAUACUGUACGUUGCAAGUUCUAUAUUACUGUUCCUUUGGGAUAUUGUGGUAUCGCCUGGCCACAUUUUUUUAAUAUUUAUUUUUUAAAAAAUAUUUAAAUCCCAAUGUUCUGGGCAUUCUUUUGUUGAAUUAACACCAACAUAAAGUGAAAGAAGGAUAAAGUCAUGCUAGUCCGAUAGUUUUAGUUUGAAGAGGCAUUGAAUACCGGUGAAGUGCGGCGUGCACCCUGAUAGUUACAUCCCUCUACUUAGUAACCAGAUGUUCAAUGUUCGAGUACUGGAUGGUGCACUUCCAAGUGUUUGAACUUGGGUAAUUAUAGUGUGGGUAGGUCUCCUUCCCUUUCUCUCUCUCUCUCUUUCUCUAUAAUAAAAAGUACAAGUAUCGGAUAUUGGAGAUUCUUUUCUUGAUAGAAGAAGGAGCCAUAGGAAUGUUCGCAUUGGGAGAGAUGGCAAUUUUUGUUUUAGGAUUAAUUGGGGUUUUUAUCUUUGAUUUUUUCCCCUCUUUGUUGCUUUCCCCCCCCAAAAUGCAGUAUAGAAAAUGUGCAAGUUCUAAAAGGGUGAUAUAGAAUGAAUGAAUGGGAAUUAGGAUGGAGGGCAAUUGGAUGCCCCUUUAACAGGGGCUCAUGAAAAUGAAGAAAUUUGAGUCAUGAAUAUCAUGGAGAAAAAAUCAUAAUAACCUGCUUUAGCCUUCAUCAAUGAAGGAGAAGUUGGUGGUUUCUUCUUACCUUGAUAUCUACCUUUUCAUUUGCUUAUGCAGGGGAAUCGACUCUGAAAGCAUGAAAUAUGCCUCCCUCCUAGAUACCAGCGACUUAAAGAACAUGCCUCUCAGUUGGAAAGCAGACAUCAGAAGGAUUAAGUACCAUGUGCUGCACUGCUGCUAGUCAUAUACUGGCAUAGUUGAUAAGACACCAUAUUAUGCUGUGUUACGAUGUUCAUGUCAUGUGCAAUGACAAAAAAGUAGUGUUGUUUCAUAUCAUAUCAAUGUUGGUUUAUGUUAACAAGCAUGCGGCCAAGCAACUGAUGUAAACCAAUAAAUACUUAAAAAUACAUGUAAAGGUGGGUCAUGGCAUAACCCCUGUGUGCCUUGCCCAUACCUAGUCAACAUGGUAUAGCUCUUACAAGCUGUGUUACCAAGAUAUUUCUGUUCAGCUCCAAAAAUCUGUGUUGGAUAUAGAUCAAAGCCAGAUAAGUAUUAGACACUUGAAUACUUAUGAAAUUCUAUAAUCGCUAUGUUUAAAGAUAAGAAGAGCUGAAUGCCUCUAAAAAUAUUUUUGACUCCCUAUUUUCAUGUAGAAGUGAGUAUUUAUUCGUUUUAGCGAUUAGUCAAGGAUUUAGGUAUUGAACUAACUUUCCAAAUAUUAUUUUUUAAUAUAUUUUAAGUUAAUGGGAAAGUUUGAAUGAGAAAGACGUGUUCGAAGACCUUAACAAACAUUAUCUUCUUAAUAUUUAUUUUUAAUAUUAAACAAAUGAUAUUAAAGGUAAAAACUUGUAAAAUUUAGUUAAAAUUAUAAUUUAUCCUAUGUAUCCCCAUAUCUUCUUUUUUUUUGCCCCUUCUUAUCAAGCCAAACACCUAGCUUUCAUAUGUGAAUCUGAUUCUUAUAUCCAUAUCCAUGCAUCUUCUACUUACAUGCAUGGACAUAUACAGCACGAUACUUACAAGUCAAGAAAAUAAGUAUAACAAACUAGGGUUCAUAAUCCGAAUUUUUUGGACAAAAUUUGCCUAUAUGCAUGCUCAUGGAGUAUAUUUGGUAGGUAAGAUGUGAUUAUUUUAUCAUAGUGAGUGAAACAUCCAACCAAUGGACCAAUUAGUUGUUUUCCUUGCUGUGCACUUGGAUUGUCGACAAUAAUGUUGAUUAUGCCUUAUGGAAAACAAUACCAUAUAUGUUUAUUUACUUUUAGAUAAUUAUAUGAUCGUGAGUAUGUGUUUAGUUGAUAGAAAUUUCGUCAAAGAAUACAAUGAGUUUGAGAAAUGACAUCGCUAUUAUAACUAUUUGAGUUAAAUUUCUAUAGUUUUGGAAUCUCCUUUUUUUUUGAUAGAAACAGUUGGUAGACAACGAGCUGCACAACUUGGGGUAACCCUCCCAUAAACACCUGUAACCCCCCCCCCCCCCCACCACACACACACACCAACAUAAAAAGUAAACUGAAAAGAGCCGAGGGUUAGAACCAAAAUAAAAAAUUGCCUCUCCCUGCUUUCGUCUUGGUGUAGGGCUAGAGUUGAGAGAGAGGGGGAGAGAGGCAGAGAGAGAGAGAGGAGGAGGAGGAGGAGGAGGAUGGGUUUCUUACCAAUGAUGCCGGAGAGGGGCAAGCGUUGAGUGGAGGCGUGCUCCGAGCGGUUGCGAUUUUCGGAGGAGGGGGAGAAGUCUUGAAACAUUGCGAAGGGGGCAACAUGGCCUAUUAACCGAGUCGGGGAGGGAAGGGAGUGGGUUUUAAUCGAGUGAACCAAGUUAAUUAGUAGAAUCUGUGUCGGUCCCUAACCGGUCUAGUUUGGUAUGCCCCGAACCUGCCGGUUUGACACAGUUCAACAUACCAUGAUCCUAGGCAUUUGGUAAAACUGCCAAAAAAUGUUACUUAUUUGUUUUCUUAAUAAAAUAAUUUUAAGAUAUUGAAAUUUAAUUGUUUAAGGAUAAACAUGUGGACUAACAUAAAAUGGUUACUCUUAUAUCACUUGUUAAUUGCGCCAAAAAGCAUGCGUACAUCCAUAAAGGUACUUGCCCAAGUAUGGGAUGGCUGUUACGUGCCUAGGCAGCCACGUAGGCACCUACUUGCGUGAUUGCCCUGCUUGGAAUGUAUGAAUGCAACAGGUACCUAAAUUGUGGAUUUGCUAGUUGCUUUACGUUGGACCAUCCAGGCUCGUUGGUAGUGCCUAUGAGAAUGCUGAUUAACAUUCUGUAUAUUGAGGUAAAUCAAAUUUCCAUAGGUUUACUAAUUUAGGACUAGAGUUAUUUCUCUUGUCAUAGGCUUAGUGCAUAGCUAGACAAUCAUGCAGAUUCUAAGUGCAAAUUAGGGAGGAAUAAGGCUUUCUAAUUGGUUAACUCAUCCAAGGUUUUAAAUAUCAUGCGAUGGAACUGUGCUGGUUUUUCUGUGGAAUGGAUGCCUAGCAUCCUGCCCCUCGGGACGAUGGAUAUCCUGUCUUGUCCAGUUCCUUCUCGACUUGUCCCAUCCCGGUGCAUAGGUUGGUGUCCUAUCUUGAUACUAGAUGGUUAGAUGCCCUGCUAUCCCGCUAGUAUUUAAAACCUUGAUCUCAUCCUUCUAGUUUAGUUUGUUUUGGGAAUCGAAUGGUUUAACAAUUGAAGAAAUCUACAAAGGGUCGUUGUCAACACCUUUUCUUUUGGAAAGGUGAGGCACUGUACACUUGAGCUGUUUGAUGGGAAUUGUGAAACUUGUUUGGUCUAUGUGAUUACAAGGGGUAUGACAAUACAGGAAGUCAUCAGAUGUUUCAAUGGCUAUUAAACUAUUGGACAAAAUGCCAGUUAUAUGAAGCAUAUUGUGUCCGAAGGAAGUUCCUUUCAUGACCAUUUAUGUCAUAUAAAAACUAUAAUAUUAUUUUAGUCAAGCAUGGUUUGUAAGAAAUGUAUAGUGAGAUUCAAAGAGGAUGUGCUAAUAAUAUUAUGAGUCUUUCUAAGAGAGGCUUGUUGGAACUACCCAAUGCGUUAAAAGCGUUUGGUGGAUACGUAGCGGCCGAGGGGUUUCAUGCCAUGCAACAAAUGGCAAGCGAAAUGCGUGCAAGGUUGGUUGCUAAAAAGAUAUUAAUAUUUUACCUUACAAAUCAUCCAAGGAACAAUGUCUCCCAUGAAUUCAUGUGUUUGAUUUAAGAUUCAAUGAGUAAUAGUAAGUAUGACCAAUUGUUAUUUUUGUUACACGUCAAUGGAUACGUCAAAUUAAUUAAUUGUGUUUCUACAGAGUCACAAAUUAAAACAUUAUAUCAUUAUUUAAGAAAGUAAAAUGCUAAAAAUUGACGGUUGAUUGUGAGGAGUGGGGUAGAGCAAGUCAUGGUGCUUUUUGUUAUACAUAUUCAUAAAAAAAAUAAAGACAUCCACUUCAAAAUUGUUUUAUGUCUGCCACAUUGCUCGUCAUUAGCUAGGAUGCCAUGCUAAGCUGCCACAGGUCAUGGCAUGGCGAUUCAGAACCAAAACCACCUUGGCGUCUGCCAUGACCUUUUUUGAGAAUCAUGUCAAUUUGCACCUUUUGAGGACAAAAAUAUAUUGGGGAAAAGUCAUUGAGAAGUUCAAGGAUGAUCAUUAUUGUCCGUUACAUGAUUCCAAGAGGUCUCCUUACGUUGAUCGAAGAAGUGACUGGAAGCUUAUUAACAUUUUCUUUAAAGAAGUUGCAUCUAAAUUGAGAAGAACAAUUCCAUCGAUUGAAGAGUAAGGUUAAUUUUUAAGAGUCUCCCAUUAUAGAAAAUUUGAGUUAAUGACAUUUUUGCGGUACAUGGCCAUGUGUUUCUUGACCUUGAAACUGAAACAUUAAAUGAAUUGGAGGUCUAUAAAUCUUGCACUAUUCAUGAUUAUAUAACUAUUCAAUUUGAGCUGAUUAUGGAUAUGGGUUGAAGCAGGUCCUGUUGGACAGGGGUUUGGUGUGACCCAUUCUUGACCCAAAAGAUUCUCUGUCCAAGAUUCUGGCCAGAUCUGGUCUAUUCCAUUUGAGUGUUUGGUUAAGUUGGGCGCAAAUUAAUUGCGUUAGGUUUUCACCUCGAUGACCCAUGUUGAACCCCAAGAACCUGCGGUUCAUGUUGGUUUAGGAUUGGGUCAGGGUCCAAUUUUCAUGUCAUGUAGCUGUGUCCAAGCUUCGUUUAGAUUUUAAAACUAGUUCAUAGGAAGAAUUGCUUAGAGUGAAAUGCUGAUCUUAAUAAAAGGACCUUCAUGGCUUUUAGAGAGGGAGUGAAAGUGAGUGUGGUUAAGUGAAAUUAUAAAAAAUGAUGCUUAGAUUGAGAUUGUAGUAUCAACCAAAAGGGCUUGAUUACUGCUAGGGACCAUGGAUAAGGAGUGAGGACAAUCUAGAAAGCAAUAUUGUCAAGAUCGGGAUGGAGUUGUAAAUCAUAAAUAGGGUCAAAUCAGUAGAAUUGUGGAUUGGAUUAUGGGCUGUAAAAUUCUUUCCAUUUUCUUCAAAAGUUUCAAGAUAUAAAAGAAGUUGAGAAAUUAAACGAGUCAACCAUCGAGUACAUGAAUGAAGAAUAUGAGUGAUGCAACUAGUUUCCAGAAUCAUAAGCCCUCAUAUCAAAGGGUGAUUGUGAAAGUACAAAUAUUUUUGGAUUUGGCCCUUUUAGCUUCAUGAAGUUCAAAAGUUUCUUUUUUUUCUUUUAUUUUAGUAAGUUCAAAUUCCUAAUGGCCUUGCUAAUGCUAAGUAUUUGAGACAUAUUAGUCAUAAAAAUGUUAACUCUAAAAGCCAUACAUUCACACGUUAUAGAAAUUGCAAUUUCAUUCUCCUAUCACCAAGGCAUGGAGGCUUAUUUGACACCAUUCUAAUAGUUGGGCUGCCUAAACCAGAAUUGAGGUAGCGAAGGCAGCCGUCUCUCUCUCUCUCNNNNNNNNNNNNNNNNNNNNUCUCUCUCUCUCUCUCUCUCUCUCUCUCUCUCUCUCUCUCUCUCAAUGAAUAUGAAGAAGGCAAAAUGCAAUGCUGGUUUUUAGAAACACUAGGAAGAGAGAAUAUAACAUUUGGUUAUGUCCAUAGUGCUUACAAGGCUCAUAAAGUAAGACCCUGGCAAUCUCGGCGAUCAAUUAAUAAUUUAUUCAGAUAUAAGCUGAGAUUUGAGUCAUUGUUUCAAUAGGAUUGCUUGAGAUAUGCCUUGCCUCACACUUUUGAAUACAACACUCCAAAAAUAGCUUGAGGCUCUUUGGCAAGAUGUUACUAUGUGAGGCAUGUCACAGAAAAGGCUCAUGUGGGUUAGGGUUGGAGAUGAAGUUUAUUAGGGCGUUGUUGCACCUUAAUGUACGUAAAAACUCUUAUGAAGCUUGUGGUUGCUGGGGCCCCUUGUUCAACCCCUCCAUUCUCCAACUUGUUGUUUUGCACCCCACUCCCUUGAACCUAAUCUGUGGUUGCCACCAUCCUCCCAACUUGGGAAGCCCCACUUUCCCUCCCAUAGGUCCCACUUCGCUGUCCUGAACUCCCAAGGUCGACCUACCUUGUAACAAACUAGGACCUUACCCAAAAAGGUUAGCCGAAAGGUAUUAUUUGGAUUCCUUAAUUCUGUAUAAGUACCCAAGAUUUACUCAACGAAUGACCGAUGUGGGGCUAAACACACGCCCGCACGGGUUCUUGCAUACCCCCUCCUACUUCACAAUCCAACAACCUUAGAGCUUUGCCCUUAUAAUUCUAUGAUGGUAACAAUUUGGUUGUUACAAGAUUAAAAUCCUUAACUUCAAAAAUAUAUAAUAAUCUCCAAAUCCAUCAAAUCUGAAGUAUGCCUCAACCAACACUUUCUUUCUCUAUGUCCUAUAUAGGUCAUUCACUGGCAAUAACUGAUUGUUCACCUUCUCAUGGUUCAUAGAGUGCCAUUCACAUAGUUGCUUUGCCUGUGCUUAUGAGACAUGACAAUAGUUCGACAUGCUUGUGAUCCCAUGUUGUGGAAUUCCAUGCUUACUAAUUGUCUCUCUCUUAUUUGACCUUCUUUCAUCAUUUUCUAAUAAUAAACCUCUGGCAAUUUUCAAAUUUUUACCAUAUGGUAUUCUUUCAUCUUCCUGUCGUGAAGCAUGUGUUCAAUGCCUUAUAGAAAUUAACAGCAUACAACUUUUUGAAAAUUAGAUUUGGUUUAUUUCUGCUUUUUAUGAACUGACAAGUCCAUAAUUUAAGAAGAAACUUGUACCUCUUCUCUAAUUCAGAAAUAAAUUAUGCAUAUCAAUAAGAAAGUGAUGUAUACUUCUAUUAGCUGUCUCAAUAAGUAACAAUGUCUACAAGGUUGACAGUGCUAAAUUGCCCUCUCUUCUCAUGCUUUCUCAUUUCAGGAUGGAAACUUUUCUAUUUUUUGAGCAACCAUGUGAUAGAUACUUUAUAUACUUGGUACAAAAUUAAUGAUAAACUAUGCAAAUUAGAAAAUUUUUUAUUUUUAAUCAAAUUUUAUUUACAAUUAUUAGGAUAAGGUAAAAUGUAUAUUAGAAAGUCUAAAGACUUUGUCCCAUCAAUGUAGAAAUUCUAGUUGUGCCUUGAUGUGGGAUACAACCAACAUCUUGCACAUCGAGUUAUUUCUUUGUAUGGAAAGCACAUAUAUUCCAUUUUUUGUCAUUACAACAAUGAUGGGCAAGAAAAGAUCUUUUUUCCUUUUCUGGUAUAAUUUUUCAUGGCAUUAUCUAUAGACUUGGAAUUCAAAUAGGAGAAUGUUAAGAUAUCCUAAAUAUGUUAUCAAAUGAUUUGGGCAAAUCUACAUUAUGAAGUGCGAUCUUUAGCAAAUUUUAUUAUCAAAUUCAAACACAAUUCAACAAGAACUAGUCUCCCAAGAUCAUAGUAGUAACUACGGAAGGUUAGAGAGGGAGGGAGAGAGAUAAUGCAAGAUCUUACCGACUUCUCUUUAUUUUGUUUUGAUUGAAAAGAGUUAGGGAAGACCUAACUCAGAAAAUUUAUUGAGGUUUGCCAUUAUAUGAGUACAAGAAGGUUACAUGAGCUUUAUGAAGGUGGAGACGGGAUGAAGGUCUCAAGGUGAGGCACAGGUAGGUUGCCUUCUCAUUGACAUGUGCAAGGGAGCCACGUCUUCUGCACCCAAAUGAUUACAACAUUUAAUUGGAAGUGGGGUCGCUGCAAGGCGUAUUUUAGGCGGGGGUAUUUGAGAGCUGGGGCUUCUCUAACUUUAGGCAUUCUCCUUUUCUUCGAGGCCGCCUGCCUUGCUGCCGGCUUAGGGUUGCGCUCCAGCCAUAGAAUCUAGCAUCCUGUGCUGAGUAAGGCAGCCAAUCCGGGCAACAUUUCUCUCUUUGGUAGGGAUGCACGCCAUGGAACCCACAAAUCUGUUUGGGCAACUUCUCUUUCAAUUGAGCUUGAUGGAUGUUGUCUAGGUAUGGUGGUAUCUAGGCUAAAGAAAGGCGAGUAGAAGAGAAAGUAGAUGAAAAUUUAUUAGGUACCCAAUACUCUUAGGUGAUUAAAGCGAAUGGCCAUGGAAUUCCUUAGAGGUUAGGCAUUUUGAUGACAAGAUGGGAUCGAUUAGGUAUCCAAGUCUCAUAUGUCGUGGAUUGGGGUUUUAGAAGAAGAGAACUGUUACAUCUUGAUAUUGUUUGUUAAAUACUUAAUAUCCAAUCAGUUUUCUAGGGGUCGCCAAUGGCCACCUCUUACAAUGAUUUUUAGCAAUGGGUAUAUUUGAUUAUUGGUAAAAUGGUGCUCCUAUAGGUUAACUUUGCAGUAGUGGAUUCUCAUGCUCUUUAUGCUUCUUGCUCAACUCAAAUCUCUUACAAAAUUCAAGAAGACAAUAAACUAGAAAGAAAUUGGGUAGAAAGCAUGGUAAAACCCACUUUACUUUCUUUUCAUCAAUAUGUGUACAAAUCUAUAUUAUAAAGCCCCUAUUUAUAUAGUGAGGUUCAUCCCCUAAUUUAGGUUGGAAUCCUCCCCUACCUAGUCAGGCCGAGUUUUUCCAAAAUAGAAAAAUACUACAAAAGUUUCCAAAACUAGGUGGAAGCUAUAUGUCAACUUGUACAUCAACUUCACCUUCUGUCAUGUUGCCAAAUUCUUCCUAGAUUAAAAGAUAUAGCUUAGUCAAAAAUCAGAAAUGACAAAGUUUAAUUUUACCAAGCAUUUCAGGGGCCUACAUGGAUCAUCAAUUUAUUAUUUCCUAUAUUUGUAAUCAUUCAGGAAUAUUCACAAGACUUGUUCCUUUUUGAGAGUCUAAAAUUCUUAUGCUUUCAGAUUUUUAAACAUUGAUCCCAGUUUAUCUUGUGAAUUUGAAAAGUAGAAGGCUUUAAAUUUCUUCUUAAAAUUUUUCUCUUGUUUGUAAGAGAUAUGUAGAUAUCUUGCUUAAAUGUGAGUUAAGAUAUCUAAGUACCGGAUGAUAUGAUGAACAGAUAUGCUCAAUAGAUAAUAUACAUUUAUUAUUUUUUACAGGGUUUCAUUACCUUCAUAAUUCAUACCGCCUAGUAAGUAAUAAAUAACCUAAUAUAUAAAAAGAAGAUAAGAGGUAUUGCCGCUGCUUAUUUCUGUUAAUUAAUUUUAAUUGGGAUAAAAUGUGCAUUUAAAGAUAUACACACACAACAAAUGAAAAUAAUUAGUGUAAUUAAUGAAAAGCAUAAAAUAAUUGUUCAAGUGCAUGUCUGCUUUAUGGUAGCAAGUUCAGUUCUUGAUGGACAUACAAUAUGUGGUCAUGCGUGUGCAUGCCUUUUACUAUAUGGCCAUUCUCGACAAUCUAUUAUUAAAUAUAGCUAUUCUUGACAAAUUGCUCAACAUUUCUAACUCUGCUUGUAUCAGCUAAGCAUUUACAUCGGAACACUUAAUAUGAUUGACAAUUAACGUGUUGUAUUGAGUGCCCGUAUCCAUGCUCAUGUCCUUUCUUUUCUCAUUGUUUUUUCCAACUUCAAUCUUGUGUAGUGAAUAUCCAUUUCAAAAUCCAUGUAUUAGUGUCUAUAAGGUUUGGUCACAGCUGGCUUUUUUAUUUGAUAAUCUAAUUUCUUUCCAUUUUGUUAUAUUUUUCAUAUCUUCCCAGGUAUUGGUUGAUCUGUGUUGCUUUCUUUUUUUCUUUUUUUUUUGCUACCAUUAUACUUCCAGUUUCUUUUUUGGGAUAAAAAAUUAUCAUGCAUGAAGAAAGGUAUGAGUCUCUGUAUCCUUUUGUCCUUUCUUCCAUCCUAUAAUAAUUGCAUCAAAUGGAUUGACAUUAACCACUCUGUGCCCAUUCUCUGCCAUGAUCUUCUUUAACACAUCGUGCUUUUGAUAUUUCUAUUUAUAUUACCUGACAAUUAACUCAUUUUCUGACUUUCAUAGUAGCAGCAACUUUUGAUUGAUAACAGCUCCUUUAUUUUUUGAUAACAAUGACAACCUAUUUAAUAGUCAAUAUUUUGUAUCUGGACCUGCAGAAAAUAAAUCCACUAAUGAUGCUAGCAGGGACCAACCUGCUGUUCCAUUGGUCUCUGGUUCUACAACCACUAGUAAUGCAGAAAGUAGUGUAUCUACUCCUAAAAUGGGCGACGAACUCAAAGUUGCUUCUCAGCUGCGAAAAUUCACUUUCCAUGAGCUCAAGUUAGCCACAAGAAACUUUAGACCAGAGAGUCUACUUGGAGAAGGAGGCUUUGGUUGUGUUUUCAAAGGCUGGAUUGAGGAGAAUGGAACAGCUCCUGUGAAACCUGGUACAGGACUUACUGUUGCUGUAAAAACGCUUAAUCAUGAUGGUCUUCAAGGGCACAAAGAGUGGCUCGUAUGUAGCUUACUCCUUCUGUUUCGAGACAUCACAAAAUAAUUUACUACAAUUUCUUUUUAUAUAGAGUUUCUUCUGCAUAUUGGAACACAUGGUUUUGCAGGCUGAAGUUAAUUUUCUUGGUGAACUUCUGCACCCGCACUUAGUGAAACUGGUAGGGUAUUGCAUAGAAGAUGAUCAGAGGUUGCUGGUGUAUGAGUUCAUGCCUCGUGGGAGUUUGGAGAAUCAUCUAUUUAGAAGUAUGUAACUGCCUAUAUGAUGAAUCUAUUUCAUUUCUUUUUGUAUCUUGCCAUGUCUAUGCUUGCAGUCUCUUUCGGUUUCUUAUGAUAGUUCUGCUCGUCGAGAAAUUUUUGCUUGUGAGGCAAGUAUGCAUGCUAUCUUUGUUUCUACUUAAUACUUGUCAACACCUACUGUGAUGUUGUUCUAAGCUGGAAUACAGUUAUUUCUCUGAGUCAUAUAAGAUAGUCUGGAUUUCAUAAUAAUCAAAAGUUUUCAGUCACAAGCCUUAAGAUACAAGAAAUCUGCUUGCUUUUAGUUACAUUUUUCAAUGAGAGGGCCAAAGGCUUAAUAUACAGUUUACCUUUCGUCAGGCUUUAUAGUUUCUAGUAGGAUUAGCAAAGCAUACUGCUUUUGAAUGAAAGGACUUUGAUAUAGUUGAGUCAGUUGUUUCUUUCUCGUUCCUUCUUUUUUCAUAAAAAAAUGGACCUUAUCAUGCAUCCGACUCUUUAGAGGCAAUGCUAUCAUAAUGGUGUUAUCAGCACAUGACUCUGGUGGUGCUUAAGAUCUGCUGGCUAACAUACGGGAGCUGUCAGAUCUCCAUUUUUUUGUUUUAUUAAGAAACAGUAUAACUUGUCUCACAUCUUAAUUGUCAGAAGCAAAAUCCUCAUAAAACACUUGAUCAGUUACAACUCCCUGAGCUGAAUGCUAUAAUUACAUGCAUUGUCCAAAUGCUUUACAUUUGGUUUUUGAUAUCCCCCUCCAACCUCAUUUAGUUGUCCUGAAAAAUCAAAUACUUUCACUUACAUUCAAUCACUUUGUCUCAUUAUAUAUAUACUUUCCUCCACCCCCAAUUUCCACUACCAAUUCCCCAUCAAAAAUAAAUUAAACCCAAAAUCUUCAACGGGAGACAAAACAGACUAUUUUUUACUUUUUUUUUUGGAGUUCAGAACUUGUCCUCAGCCGUGGAGUCUCGGUUUAAUAGACAGAAAAAUGCUUCAGCACACUUGUAUCUUUCUGGGCAGUUAAUAUAUUCUACUGGAGGACCUGGAUUGAUUGCUUUAAUUGGCUACAACUGGCUAUGCCCAAUAGGUAGUGGUUUACUUAGAAUGUGUCUUAAAACUAAGGAUAUUUGUUCACAGAGAAGUAAAUCCCAUAGAUUUAUUGCAUUUCACAAGGCAAGCAUAACUAGCAAACAGUUUCAUUGGAUUCUUCAAGUCAUCGCGUUGAAUUAAUAUGGAGGAAUUUGUUUCAUUAGAACUCAAGUUUGACAAAGUACAAUUUUGGUCUUAAAAACUGAUAAAACUUCCUUCGUUUAUAUUUAAAGCACAGGGACUCAACAAACAUCUCCAGUUGGAUUGUUCUGUCCAACUAAACUAGCAUGUAGCCAAACACUUCUGGCUCUAUUUGUGUGCUUCUCUGAUAAUUUGUAUCUAUAGAUUCAAUAUCCUUAAAAACACCAGAGGUAGUCUUUGUUAUUAAUGAUUGGCAAUGACGAUUCCUAAAGAUGACUCAUGUCCUUUGACAAGGCUUGCUGGUUAUUCUUAUGGUUAUGCUCAAUGUCCUUAUUGAGAUAAUAUGAGGUUGACUUGUCCUUUUGUCCUUUUGGAGCUUCAGUUGUGUUUUCAUCACUAUAUGCUUUUAUAACUUUUGGAAUUAAGUUGCUCGCAUAUUGUUACCUCAUAAAUUUAAGUUGAGUCGAUUUUGAGUAAUUAAUAAUUUGACAUUUAUAACAAGUUAUGACUUUUGAUUUCAGAGUUGUCUCUGUUAAUUUAAAGAAUUGUACUUAAUCAUCCAAGUGUGUUUCUUCUGGCCUUGCCUUCGGACAGAAAGACUACAUGCUAUUGGAAAUUUAGUAAUUGCUCGAGUUACUUGAAUAUGCAUAACAGCAGUUUGGCAUACUGUAUACUCUUGUUAAUGAUAUAAGCUUUAUCCUUCUAAAUUUUCUACCCAAACAUACAGGCAUGUAGAUGACUAGAAAAUGCACAUGGAAGUUUUUUUAUUUCCUAUGGAUUAUUUUUCUCUGUAGUUUUUGUUCCUCAUUCAAUGUCUGAAAAUAUUGCACUUUUAUACUAAAUAUAGCACCCUUUUUGGAACAUGGGACAUGCAUAUCUGUUAGACCUUUUUAUAAUUGUUACUAGAGUUCAAGUUGAUGUUAAAAGCUUGUGUAAAUGGCAAUGCUGAUGCUAGAUAGGGCAAUGCUGAUGCUAGAUAGCACAAUGCUUAUUUAACCCAGUUAUCUAGAUAGGCUGUCAAAUGAACCAAGUAGCUUGAGAAAGGUCGAUUCAAGCUCGAUUUAGAAUUAAACAAACCAAACUUGAAUUAGCAAAAGAAGCUCAAAAUUAAUUGAAGUUGAGCCCAAAAUUGACCCCACUUGAUCAGGUUUGGCUCGAGAAGGCACGAAUAUAUUUAUAUUCUAUACCAUGUCAAGGAUUGUUGUGCCGGUACCGGGGUCCGUACCGGUUGGUUGGCAGCACGAUUCGAUAUGCCCCCAUGCUGUUCGAUGUUGGGCCCAUACUGACAUAGCAAAGAGGGCGAGGGAGAGGGAGAAUGAGAGAGAGGAAAAGAGAAAGGGGAGGAGGGAGGGAGGGAGAGAGAGGGUGAAGGUCGGUGCAGUGUGCCCUGACAUGGCAGAGAGGGGAAGUACAGAGAGAGGAAAGGAGAGGGGGAGGGAGGGAUGAGGGUGGCAGACGGCCGGGGAAGGCCACCGAAGGGCCGGAGAGUGGUGCAGAGGGACAGAGGAGGGGCUCUGCCGUUCGGACCCCUAUUUUGUUCGACAUAGGGGUCCUGAACGAGGCUCAUUUUUAUUUUGAAAAUAUUAAGUGAAGUUGGCAAGAGAGUGGCUGACUUCAGAAUGAAACAUAAAUUUCGGACGAGGUUCUUUUUUAUUUUGAAAAUAUUAAGUGAUGUUGGCAAGGGUGUUGCUGACUUCAUAUAAAAUUUUCAAAUAAAAAAAGAGGCAUGUCUGGGUUCCGGAGGGCGGAGCCUCUCCUCUACCCCUCCGCGCCACUCCUCGGCCCUUCGGUGGUCUUUUUUUCCUGUUCGCACCCUCUAUCUCUCUCCCUCUCUCUUUUUCUCUUUUCUUCUCUCUUCCUCUCUGGUUUCUCAUGUUGAAUGCCGUAGUAGUCCUUGUCUGCCAUCGGUGCGGCCUCGAAUCAGACGGUUCGGGACGGUUUCAUUCCUUGUACCAUGUUAUAUAAUAUAUACUAUUUUGAGUUUGGGCCUUAGUGCAGCAGUAGGGUUGCUCCAUUGUAAUCUGGUAUCACAAUUAUAGAAACAACCUCUCGCAUAUAGGGGUAAGGUUUUGUACAGCGCCUAGGGGUGGCAAUUUGUGAUCCGACCUGUGAACGACUCGCUUUAAAGAGGUUUGGGUUUAAAAUAAACAGGUUUAGGUCGUAAAUGGGUCAACCUGUCUAAACUUGUUUAUAUAAUGGAUUGGGUUCAUAUUUAAAUUUUUGACCUAUUUAACCCAUUUUGACCUGCUUAAUAAUUGGGUCGGGUUAUAACCCGGCCUAUUGAACCUGUUUAAAAUCUAUUUAACCUAUUUGAAACCUGCUUAAUCUAUUUCUGACUUGCUUAACCCGACCCACUUAACCUGUUUAAAUCAAUUUAACCUGUUGAAAGUCCGUCUAACCUGUUUAAUAAAUGGGUUAUGUAGGUCGGGUCAAGUUACCUGUUUAAUAAACAGGCCGAAUUCAGAUUUAAAAUUUUGAUGUGUUUAAUAAAUAGGUCGGGUUUGGAUUGAUGAAUUUUUGACCUGACCCGCAUCAAACCCAACCUGUAUCUAACCUGACCCGACCCAAUUGUCACCCCUAACAUCGACCCUCUCCAAACUCUACAGUGGUGGGAGCCUUAUGCACUGGGAUGCCCAUUAUAUGAUAUAUAUUAUUUUGCAAAUCUAUAUGAUAUAUUGUUAUAUUAUUAUAUAUUACAUUAUACAUAAUGGACCAUUUGAUCGAGCCUUUGAUUUUUUUUGGUUAUUCUUUGAGUCAGUUAAACGUUAAAACAAGCUCAAAUCAAGCUUGUAUCGAGAUUUAGUUCAAGGUUGAAUGUUUUUUGGCUUAAUUUAGGAUCAAUUAUGCUCCUGUUCAGUUUGGUUUCAAAUUGAGUUCAAAAUCUCAAAAUAGUGAUAACCAAAUCAAGCUUGAUCUUAGAGUUCAUGCUCAAGAUUAAUUUUGAACCAGGUUUGAUCACGCCCAAGCUUGAUCAAGUUUGGCUCAAUUGCAUCCCUAGUUAUGUAGUUUCAUUGUUCAUAUACUGUUUGGUUCACCCUUUGUUUCUGUUAUGAUAAGCAUCAGGAGUCUAUCUGGGAACAUACUGAUUUCUUGAAAAUUUUAUCGGACCACAACCAUUACUUGUAGAGCUAAAAUAGCUGUCCACGAAUGGAGACAAUCACAAUCUUACAACUUUCGUAAUAGUAAUAGUUAUGGCAAUCGUCCUUGUUCUUCAAACAUCAAAUUUGGAGAACAAUGUCCUUUCUGGUGAGGCAUUUAUGCGUUGGCAAAGACACUAGACAGCAGCUCAAGGAUGUCAAUUUUGUACCGUAACUCUUUAACUGAAAAUUAUAAUAGAAAUAUAGGAUAUACAAUUCCUAAGAUUGACAUAGCUAUUCAUGGCAUGUUAAAUUUUAGAUAUUUAUCCACUCUGCUACAUGAUUUUGUGCUUCUGUUUUACUUUUUAUCCAUGCCUUGCAUUAAUUAUAAAAUCAACCAACUAAUAUUCUCCAUCUGGCUGGCCUUGUAAAUUUCUUUUUUUUUUUGUUACUUUAAUAUCUUUUCAGCAAUUGCUACUGCUGUUUUUCUCAUUUGUUGAGAGGAGGUGGGUGUGGUGCAUUUGUGGAUAGAUUCCAUUUGAAGGGCAUGUGUUAAUGAGUUGAUUUAGGGAUAGCACUAUGAACUACAUAGGGACAAAUAGAGCUAUGCCCCUGCUAUGGCCUUUACAUAUAUUACCGACCUUGAAAGAUGUGGUUUUUGUAUUCUCAAAUUUGCAAGCUUGAGCAUUGUGCUAUCUUUUACUAUGUUGAACUGCUCGUUAACAUUUUUAAUGGGUAACAGGAUCUCUUCCACUCUCGUGGUCUGUUAGAUUGAAAAUUGCACUAGGAGCUGCAAAGGGUCUUGCCUUUCUUCAUGAAGAAGCAGAAAGACCAGUUAUAUAUCGUGAUUUUAAGACGUCUAAUAUUUUGCUUGAUUCAGUACGUAACUGAACUUCCUAGCAACAAUAUAUAUAUAUAUAUAUAUAUAUAUUCUCCCUCAUGUUCCCGCUCUUUCCUCCCCCUUUCUGACCAUGUGCUUUUCCAGGAUUACAAUGCCAAGCUUUCUGAUUUUGGACUUGCUAAAGAUGGCCCUGAGGGAGACAAGACUCAUGUGUCCACAAGAGUGAUGGGAACGUAUGGUUAUGCAGCUCCAGAAUAUGUAAUGACAGGUAACUUUACCGCAAUGUUUUUAUUUCUGAAUUGUGGAAACAAUUUGCAUGCAGACUUGGCAUUAGAGUUGAUAAUUGUUUCACAACGCUGUGUUUGCUUAAAAAUCGAAACAAGUCGACCAAAUAACAGAAAUAUUUUGCUAAUAUUUUGAUGAGAUUUUUCUGCUAUAUUUUGCCAAUAAAUAAUCACGGCUUGCUAUUCUUCAAAUAGAUGCAUCUGGUUCUUUUGUUGAGCAUGAGUACUUAAGAAAUGUAACUGCAAUUGGACUUGGAAAGGUACCUUUAUUUCCCAGUUCUUUUUCUCUCAAACGAUGAGAGCAAAAGCAAUAUCCAGAAGGAAGAUAUGGUUAUAGCAAUAUAAUAUAUAUUUAAAUAUAAUCCUAAUUACUUGGUGCUGGCCUCAUGAGUAUCAACAUCCUCCUGUCACUUUGAUUAUUCCAUAGUGUAGCAGAGAUAUCAGUUGUUUGUUCCAUUGGAUCUUUGGAGGCAGCACAAGCACUUCAAAAGUCUUUUAGACUAUGGCUUUUCCAGUCAUUGCUACUCUACUAGGCUGGCAAUGCUACUGAAGAUAUUUACAAGCGAACCUUGAUUUGUCAUGAUUUCACCAGAAGUUCGUCAACAAACCUUGUCUGCCUAUGAUGUCUGUCAUCCCCACAUGCUGUGUUAGUAUUUGGACUCUUCAUUUACUCAAUCUGAAAUCUUCCUAGCAAUUAGUCUAUAAGUUCUAUAUUUAUAGAUUGCAAAUAUGUUAUGCCCACCGCUCCCUCUCAUGUUUGCCCACCCAAUCAUCAGGUGUAGGUACUUGAGCAUUUCUUCUUGAAUCGUAGCCCUAUGACAUCCCUAGAGGAAGCUCUGCAUUUUGUUAGUUCUUCUUUGGUAUGGGGAAUUAAAGUAACAGAUGCCCAGAAUAGACAGAACCUGGAGAUAAUAAGGAGACAACUUGAUAGAGAAAAUGAGUACGUUGCUUUCAAAAGUAGCUCUCAUUAUGUAAGUCUGAAAUAGUAAACUAAGCAUUCAUAGAUAUUGCUUGAGGCCAAUUCAGAUAUUAUCAUUUUCAUAUUUCACCAUUUAUUAAACAACACAGUUGUGAAUUGUAUCCCUUCAGGUUCUUAUUUUAUCCAUGUUAGACUACUACAAUUCAGUUUGGAUGUGGCUUGAUAUUUUGGCUUUUGAGUUUGCUGUGAUAUUCUGGCUUCUGAUAUGUCUCUUCUUUUUCGUACAAGGACAUCUGACUUCAAAGAGCGAUGUUUACAGCUUCGGGGUUGUCCUACUCGAAAUUCUAACAGGGAGAAGGUCUAUGGAUAAGAAUCGGCCCAAUGGCCAACAUAACCUGGUUGAAUGGGCACGCCCCCAUCUUGGGGAAAGGCGGCGCUUUUACAGGCUUAUAGACCCUCGCCUGCAGGGCCAUUUCUCUGUCAAAGGGGCACAAAAGGCAGCUGAGCUGGCACACCGCUGCCUCAGUCGGGAUCCCAAAGCCAGACCGCUUAUGAGUGAAGUGGUGGAAGCCCUGAAACCACUACUCAACCUUAAAGACAUGGCCAGUUCAUCAUACUACUUUCAAACCGUCCAAGGAGAUCAUGGUGCUGCCAAUAGCAGUAAUUCAAGUAUCCGAAAUGGCUUAAAGAAACAAAUUUCCUUCUCUAAAAAUGGGCAGCAACCAAUGAGGAGCCUUUCAAAUAGCACGAUUAAUUCUCCGUACCAUCAAUCACCAAAGAUCAAUGCUGAACAGCCAUGAGUUCAUCCAUUUCCAUCUGUCAUCUCCUCAGAGGAAUACAAAACUAGGAUGGGCAUUAGGUCUGCAGGCUUGUGUUGAUGCUGGUGCUGGUGGACAUUCAACAGUGAGGUUUAAUUGACCAAUAUUCUCUGUUGAUUCUAAAUUAUCUGAAGAUACACCUCUUAAGGAUAAUUAUAACUGAUGCCUGUUUGUCUUAUUCAAGUAAUUGUCAGUUGUUUGAUAUUAGCUAGAUUCGUUUCAAAGAUAUUUGGCAGGGUUAUCAGAUUUUGUCAAGAAGCAAAAAGGAGGAGAUCCCAGGAGAAGAAAAGGGUUCUAUUUUCUUUCUUUUGUAAUUAAAUUAAACUUAAUGCAGUAGAGGGGCAGUUUUGUUCAACAAGUUACAAGUUGAAUGACUUCAUGAACAUGGUUAAAACAGUGCAGAAAUAUUUCUCUUUCUCAGUACUGAAAUAUAAACAUAAUAGGAGGAGGGCAAGUAAAUAGCAUAAUGUAGUUGUAAAAUUAGGUUGACCAGUUAUUUGGAUUCUACAAGAUAGCCUGGGUUGAAAAUAAUGAAUAUCAUAUGAACUUGCUAGAGGACCCACAGCAAGGUUGAGUGAAUGUUGUCAUCGCUCCAAACCUAAUCCGUGAAGAGAUCUGGUGACCUGACGAGGUCUCUGCUCGCUAAUCCAAAUUCAGGCUUGGCAUUUAGCAGCUCUUUCAAGGAGGAAAAACUUACAGGCAAGAGUGUUUGACAAAGCAUGCCUUACUGAAGAAAAAAAAUGAAGUGUUUCGCCUCCCCCAAUCUGGGAAGGGGAUAGAUAGGAUUGAAGCCAUUUGAAUGCCCCAGGAGCAGUCAUUCAGCACUCAUUUUCCUUCAGGGGCUAGGUCAUUGUAUAAAGAAGCCGCGAGAACCCACGUAGGAUUCAGAUGCACAAGCCAACGUGAAUUUCAAGCUCAUGAGAUUGAAUAGAAUUUUCAUCUUGAUCGAAAACAAAAGCCAGUAACUAGCAGACCAGUGAAUUUUAUCUCUGUAUUACUCCAUUUGCAGGUUUAUGGUUUUCUGAGUGGCCUAGCAGAAACAACUUGGUUGCGGUCAUCCUUCACCUAGAGUUGCAUGGAAACCUCAACCAACAAAACAUAUGCAUUCGAUGCACGUAGAAUCUGCCUGAUAGCACUCAAGAAUUGUGACAUCAGCUUUUAAUGUCAAGCAGCCCGUUGCCUUGAAAGUUAAAACCUCUCCUGCUCGUUGAGACUUGAGAGUUGAGACCCUGCUCGGCGACAUAUAUAUAUAUAUAUAAUAUAAUUCCAUUUGCCACCUGUCACCAUAAGCCCAUUAUACUAUUUAACUAAUUCUAUCCCAUCUAUUUGAUCUCACCAAAUUAUUAAAAAGAUAUUACGAAGCACAGACUACUUUUGAUACAGUUUAGUGGGAAAAAAAAAACUGAUUAUUGAGAUUCAUAGUUGUACAUACUCAACUGUGACAUAUUGCCAUCUCUAUUUAGUGAUGCAUUAAUUACUACAUUUAUUUCUUAGAAGCACAAGUCAUCAUUGUGUAGAAUAGAUAGCUUAAAUUCAUUUCAUCAUGCAGCUUUCCUCGUCAGCUGAUCUUUUGAUGUGCUCUCAAAGAUCUUAUCGGCAUUGCCAACUUCAAAACCAUCACGUCUAUGGAAUUCCUUGAUCUACCAGUGGAAAAAAACAACAACAAUUAAAGGCAGGAGAGAUGCAGAAGAAUGGCAAGACAAAGUUUAAUACUUAGAUGCACAGACGGGGGACUAAUAACAAAGUUAGUAUCAACUACCAAGACAAUAUGAAGUAAUGCCUGCUAAUUUGAUACCAUAUAGUCAAAAUUAGCAUUUGAUAGAGAUUGAAAGUACUAGUGUUCAGGUUGCCUGAUGUUAAGGCCAUGAUCUAGCAGCUAUUCCAAAAGAAAAAGAUUGCAAUGAAUUACCCCACCUAUUGAGAUUAAUAGAAUUUUGGGUUAAAUUCAGAAAGUCAUUCAUUCCGGAAGCAGCAAAAGUACCAAUGCUGGCAAAUUAUUAAUGAAAUCAUCAAUGUAGUAACUGGUGCCUGCAAUCAAAAUUUUAAGGAAUCUUCAAGUACAAAAUAAUCCGAAAUGUUCACCGGGAUGUUGCUCUUUUCACUUCGCAGAAAUGACAUCGUGUUCCUCCCCCGCCCCCCCCACCCCAAAAAAAAUAAAGAAAUAUAUGGCGCUCUUGACUAUAGAAAGGUAUCGUUUUCAUUACAUUAAAGGUUUUUUUCAUAUUAGUCCCUGAGAGAUACCUGUUUUGCAUAUUAGUUCCUCAAUUCUUUAAAAUUGCAAAUGAAUCCCUGAAAGAAAUACAGUCCGUUUCAUAUAGGUCCCUGCAGUGCCAUCUAGUUAAACACAGCUGGAGCAGAUAUUUGGAGUUUUAGCUGAUUGGCAUUGGAUUAUUAUCUUGAAGUUUUUACCUUAAAUUAUAUAACGUUAUUUAUUUAUGUAUUUUUUUCAUAUCAGUUUUUGAUUAUUUGCAUACCAGUCCCUUAGUUUCCCCUGAACAAGAUGAACAGGCAGAUUCAAGAAGAAGCAUUUGUUAUAACAUCUACAAUUUUCGAGUUACGGAAAUCCUUGAUGCGUAGAACCAAAAUAUAAAAACUGAAGAUUCAAAAUGCAUAGCACAUUUUAUAUGCAUGUUAUGGAAAAUUAAUUUAUUGUCUCUUGGACUUCUUGCAAAGUCUUAAGUAGAUGUAGAUACCUACUGAUGUGUCAUAUAUGACAAAUGCAUAUAUAUUUGAAUCAAACAGUGGCUCCAUUAAGAACGUAAACCUAAAGACUGUUGGGAAAACAAAGAAAUCCAAACCUCAUCAUUUGCUAAAUUUUUAUACUGAGGUAGCACAAGCCGUUCUGCAAAUUCGAUGUAUGAACAAGGAACAGAUUCGGUGACCCCAUCAGCAAAAUUAAAAGAAGUUGAAUCAGCCACAGUUGAACUUUGCAGUAGAAGGCCAUCAGGGCUCACUAUCAAUAACAACAAAGAAAAAAAGACCUGAGAAUGCUUGUUUUGCAAUGCCUGAAAACCAUAACAACAGAAGACAGUUCUAAAACAGAUCUGACUAUUACCUACUAAACAAAACAUUAGACUACUGUUUUUGUUAAUGCAAGAUGACACAUUAAGCAAACAGGAAAUAUUGUGAAAUUAUGAUAUCAUAUCAAUAAACAACUGGAUGAGAAGUUGUGACCAAUCUUAUUAUGUGGACAAGUACAGCUUGAGGAAAAGGGUCAGAUUUGACGAGGAAAAAUUAACUCCAUAAGAUGUAAGGUUAUCUAGUAGGUAGAAAACCUAUGAGAACUUGCUACAAAGCAUAUGUCUUAACCUCAGGUUGCAAGAAGGAGCCAGAACAUUUUUUGGCUACUUUCUACGGUACCAGAAGCUUAUAUUUUCUGCAUGGUUCAGAAUGUUGGGCCAUAUGGGUGGUCCAAACAAAAAGAUGAACAUGGAAGCAAUGAAAAAGUUGAGAUGGAAGUGUUGUGAAGCAUAAGAAAUCAAUAUAUUAUAAGACAUGCAGGAUUUAUAUCAAUUGAAAAAACAAAGUGACAGAAUUGAUUCAAAUGUUAUAAAACUAUGGACAUAUGCAGUGAUAUUUUGAGAUGACCAUGGUAAGGAGAGAUGAUGGAAUAUGUGAUUCGAAGAAAAUCUUAGAUGAUUGGAUUAAGUUUCAAGAAAAGAUUUGAAAAAUUGCAAUAACACCAAAAGUAACACUUAAUAGGAAUGAUUGACAAAUGAGAAUUCAUGAAACCAACCCUAAAUAAUUGGGAGAAGGCUUGAUGCUUAUAUAGAUGUGAUUUUCAAUUUUACAGUUUAUGGACAAAAAUUAAACAUUCCACCUUCUACACUGAAGCAUGAAUAAAUUAUAUGCAUACACUGAUAGCAUGUCAAAGCAGGAAUCAGAGUUAUACAUGUGGCAUGAACUGGCAGGUGACUAUACCAUGCGUUAUUAUGUCAAUAUUGCUGCUCAACUCAACCCAACUCCACUAAGCCUUUCUCCCAAACUAGUUGGGGCCAGCUAUAUAAAUCCUUUUCCUCCAUUCCGCUAUGUUUAGGGCCAUACUUUUUGAAAGAUUCAAUAUUGACCGCUUUGGCACAAAACAAUUCAAAGAGCAAAUGCAUUUUACACUAUUUCAAAUAGACAAUAUCCCACAAGCAUAUAGAUAGAGUUGUUUUUUUUUAAUCAAGACUACUUUAUAUAAUUAGUUUCUCAAACAUGGAACCAGACAGAGUUGAUUGCAGACCUUUUAAUGUCCCCCCUUCAGAAUUCAGUUUGAAUCCAUGAUUUUCAAUGAACUCAUUCAGGCUUUUGAUGUUUCUAAUAUGAGAUUUCAGCUGAUGUGUGGAAAUAGUGACAUGAUUCAAUGCAUAACCAUUAACAAGAGUCCAUGCAGCAUAUUCACUUUCCCUGAAACAGUAAACCAAAGAAUAAAAUAGAAUAGCCAAAACAAUGUCAGCUCAAUAACAAAAAAUACCAGAAAAUGCAGGAUUCAACUCAUUUCCUUCAGCAACUGUUAAAAUAAAUUCUGUGCAGCAACUUAAAACUAAGUACUUGUGAUAUUAUACUUCAGAGUUCAGACUGCAAGGCAAACACCAUCGAACAAGAUGUCGCACUUGCCAGAUUUACUGCUAAAAAAGUACCUAGCUAAUUGUUGAUAGUCAGAAUAUAAAGGUUUCUCCCAUGUUAAACAUCCCAAUGCACUUGCGAUGGAUGCAUGUUCGUUCCCAUUACCAGAUGUUUUGAUGCAUUUCCUAAUCACUUCCUGCAUGCACAGGCAAUAACUGAUGGUCAUAAUCUACAAAUAAAAAUUGGAUACAGGAUAAAGAAAGACUGGUAUUGGCAAAUAAGGUAAAAUAAAGGUAACCACAAUCAGCUUACAAACUGAAAAGAGAAUGUUACAAUAUGCAAUGAUCAGUAAGAUAAAGUUGAAUAUACAAUACCUUGCACUAAAGAAUGCUGGUAUACUCAUGUAAAAUAGCAAAUUACAAUAGAUUAGUAGGUGGUUCAGGAUCAUUUUAGCAUGACAUCUGAGACUCGGUGUUAUUAGCAGCUGAAACAGACUUCUCUUUUUAACUGGUCACCUUUAACACACGCUAUUAGUUUAGAAAUUUGAAGAUAAUCAUGAUCACUCAAUAGCUCUGUCAAAAAAAAAUGUACGCAUGAAAAUGCCAAAGAAAGACUACUUUAUGUCCCUCUUCCAACAAGCAAUAUAUUUGGAGGCAUAUGCAGCUGCUUUGGUGUAUGUGUGCCCCAGAUGUGCUGUUUAGAGCCUAAGGAAUCAUGGUAUGCGGCAGGACAGCAUAGCUGUUGCUCAGAUACCCCUACAGGCCUAGGCGGCUUGCACAUGUGGCCCCGGUGGAAUGCAGUUGGGCAGAAAAUGCAACUCAAGCAUUAUUGAGUGCCCCAACCUCCUGUGCCUUCUACCCCCCACUAUGUCUGCUUCCCAUUCUCCUUUUCUGUCCUCUCCCUCCUCCACCUUUCACCUCUGCCACCACCUCUUUCUCCCCCAUGCCUACUUGUCCUCCUGUUCAGUCUAGGCACCCACUUAGGUGCAUGUAUACAGCAUUCAUAUUAAAUACACACAGGACAACAACAUAUCGUAGCUAGUUUUUAGAAUUUUGCAAUAUUUCCAUGCAGAUCAUAUUGUUGUCAAAAGGUCUUGGGUCUUGUGGUGUAUGUUAUUUAUGGAUGAAAAGUAUUGAUUGAUGAAGUGAGGUACAUAUACACACAAACAAAGAGAGAGAGAGUUUGGGUGGGAGGGUUUGACGGGGGAGUUGUGGGAGGUGGCGUGAGUUAAAUAAUUUAGGCCUCAUGGUGUAUGUUAUUUUAGGCAGUAUUAACUGCUGAACUGUAGUCUAUAUAUCUUCUCAAUUUAAAUUCAAGCUCCUUGUUUAACCUCAUUUUGAUGGGAAAAUGCACCUUAAAGAAAUUAUUUUCAUAAUGAUGAACGGAUAUAUAAUGCAGUUAUUUUUACACGCAUUUAAAAAUGAAAUGAGGAAUGAUCUAAUCACUUACUUCAAUCAAUGAUAUCAACUACUUCUCUCCCAAGUCCCAACUCGCUUGCCUAAUCUAGAACCAAUGGAUUCUCAGGGCUGUGUACAAGGCUUCAGCCUCAUUUCUCCAGGAGGAAAAAAGCUAGUUAGCCAAUUCAUUUGUUGAAUCCUUUUCCCAUUGGUUAUAGUUCAGGUUAAUGCCUCAGUCUGUAAGAUCUUCGACAUAUUUCUAUUAAUGGAAUUAUACUAAUAACCAGAAGAAUACUUAAUGAGUCAUGUCUCAAUUAAUUAUACAUGUUGCUUCAGUCUUUUCAUUUUUUAAGAUAUGGUCUGUUGUAAAUCUACACAGUUUUCAUUGGUUCCUCUGUCAAUGUCAUGUUGAAUAUUUGUCCUCCUAAACUUCAUCUAAAAUACUCAUUUCCAACAUAUCCUGCCUAGAAAUAUCAGAAUCACUUCAAAUGUCAAACUCAUCUUUUGUUAUCAGAACCACUUAUAUCCAUCAUCUUACCAAACAGCCAGUAACAAAAUCAGGAUUCAUGAUUGUCUUGUAAAGGGAAAACUUACAAAAUCAGUAAUUCAGUUAAUAAGAAGCAGAUCAGAAAAUGAAAACAUCUCAACGAAUGGGAGCAAUUCAAGCAAUUUACAAUAGUAUGCAAUAUAUUUAUAAAAGAUCAUAAACUAUACAUGAAGUAACUGAAAUUUAAUAAAAAAAAGGCAUUAUUGAGUUUGUAAAUAUUCAAGGCAAAAUCAUUUAACGAGCAAUUUAAGGAUGAUUAUAGAAUUUUUCAACAAGUCACAGAACUUUGCCACUAGUUUUAACAGAGCAUUUCAAGCCUUAUAUGUACCUUGUAAAGGCCUUCAUUGAAGUCUUAAAAAGGCAUGCAACAAUGACAAAACUCAUUUGAAAUGUGUCUCAUUCGAAAUGUAUAUCCACUUCUUCAACCUUGCUCUAGCUCAAUCAAGCAUAUCUAUUUCAAUCUUCUUUUUUUUCUAAAUGACAAACCCAAGAUAGCAAAUUGAUCAUACCAUGUGCAUAGGUAGAUUAUAUUGCCGCCUAACUUUGAUAUUCUUAUUUUAUUGUGGUAUUCAAAUUUAUAAUUUCUCAUGUGAUUAAGAGUUGCAUCUUAAAGCCCACAACUUUACUGAAUGUUUGUAGCACAGCAUCCUUAUAUAGGAUGCAUCAUCUGUUUGGCAAAUCAAUCAGUCGCACCAAUUCUGGAAGGCACAAAACUCUGCAAAAAUCAAUACUCUAGAAUUAUCCACAGACCAUGACAGUGCUACAAAUUUUCUUUUGCAGUCUCAUGCUGAGUCUCUAAUACAUUUUUGGGCUCUUGCACAUUAUGUAGACAAAUCGAACCAUUGUAUCCAAUCUGGUGGCUUAAAAUCAGUAUGCAAUUAUGUUUUGAGACCACAACAAGAGGUAUUUCACCUAAAUUGAUAUAAGAUGGCCAAACUAAGUCUUAAUGAUCUUCAAGAUGUACUUGUCAAUUAUCAGCACACCAUCCCACAUCAUCCAUCAAUGCAUGUGUUUUUCCAAAUCUUAGAACCCUUGAAACUUUUUUCAGUAACCUGAGUUUUAAAAAUUCAUCUAAAUCCUUUCAAUUUUUAAUAUGAAGAAAGUAUUUAUCAGUUAUAGUUUGAAAAUUAUACCAGAAUUUUAAAAUAGUUUGUUUGUUCAUGUAUACAAAAACUUUUCAGAACAUGAAAAAUAUUGCUGUAUUACAGCCGAACAAAUCAACUAAGCAUCAUACAAAAAUUCAGGACUUGGGACUACCUGACUUUGAGAACUCAUCUGAUCCACAAGAAGCUCUGAUAUAAAUAUCCUUGGCAAAGGCCCAUCUAUACCGUUUCCACCAUCAAUAUAAUCAAUCUUGGGAGGUGCAAACCACAAUGCUUUCAACUUUUUUGUGGGAAAUCUCAAUUCUUCGCGUGGCAUAUAGCCAAAAUCCAUGAAAACUUUUGCCAUCGAAUCAAUACCAUAACCUUCUACCUUUGGUUGCAGAUGAAGCACAUUAUUGUACAUCAAGAAUGAUGCAACAUGGAUCAGUUAAGAAAGUGGUAACUAUUGCAUCAGUUGAGUACAACAGAUAAGCAAAAACAGAGUAAUUAGAAAAACCAGUUCAGUGUAUACCCCAAAUGUUCGGAAGGCAAAAUGAUCAUAGCAGAUAUGGUCACCAUCGCACGAACGAACAAGGUCCAAAAUUGCUUUGGCAGUUGGAUUCCUUGUCAUGUAGACCUUUUCCAUACUAGAAAUUAUUGUUCUGAAGAAUGACUCAGCACCCUGUGACAAAGAGAAGACUAGGGUUUUUUUUAAUAAAAAAAAAGAGAGGUUGGCCAACACAAGAAGCUUACAAGUAGCUGACAAAUUAUAAUUGCCAAAACCAUUCUAUGUGGCAAUCUUCAAUGGUAGAAAUAAACCAUACGAGUUUUGGAGGUGCUUGGGAUUUAAGGCAUGCCCAACAGUAACUUAACACCUUGUCUCAAGACAUACAAUUUACAGGCCUAGGACGAGAUGGUAUAUCAACAAACCAUGGCAUUUCAUGGUUCUUAGUAACAUAUUUUGACUUAGCAGAGCAUAUGAAAUCCCACAAACAAAGAUGUGUUGAGUUUACAUCAUAAUCCAACCAUAUGCAUAUGACAAAACAAACAUCCAAAGAUUCAAUUACAGAACUUCCAUGUCUUCAACCUUAGCACGAGGAACUUUACUUGCGUGAAUAUGUCUCUGACAAAUUUUGUUUGCAAAUAGAUAUACAGAUGCCCUUUUUGAUAACAAGGCAGAAACCUCCGACCCGACAUUCAUGAGUUUCGAAUGAAGAAUGAAGAGUGCCCCUCUUUUUUCUUCCCUAAAUUGCUUAGAAAAUCAGCAAGCUUGAUUUUUUUUCUCGUGGAAAACUGGCUCAGAUAUGCCCGGAGCAAAACUAGAGAAAACAAUGUAGACUUAAUACUUUGAAGAAACAUCAUACAGGGUGCCCAUUUUCUGGAAUGAUGCUGCCUUAUUUAGAAAACUAAUGCUACUCAUAGAGGGCAUUUUCGUUUUUGUUUUAACUUUACAAAUGGGUCUGCAGAAUCCUCCAGUACUAUGGUACGUGUGAUGCCCGGAGGUUUACAAGAUUAACGGCUUUCUUUUUGUGUCUUUAACUUUUAGUUCUUCUGCUUCUUGAUUGAAAAGAAAUCCACCGUUCCACGGUUUCCAUGCGUCACAUCAUGAUUCUUGAGCUAAAAAUUGUAGACGUUAAAAAACUACUCGAUNNNNNNNNNNNNNNNNNNAAAUCAGACCACCUCAUCGCCGGUGCUUUCCGAUUAAAGAAUCAAGGACUUCUUGAUAAAAUUCUAUUUCAUGGAGCUCUGAGAAAUCGAGCCCUUAUAAAACAUAGUUCUUCUUCUUUUUUUCCUUCUUCAAGAGCCCUUCUGCCAUUCGUUUUCCCCUAUCCUCCUCUCUGACGAACAAAAGAACUAGGAAGAUCUUUAAUACUCUGAAUCAAUUCCAAGUAAAUCGUUCAAGAAUCGAACCACCGAUGAAAAGGGUAGGGAAGAAUCGCAGGUACCUUGGGAGGUGGAUCCGCGAGAGCGGUCGCCUGGGAUCGGGCAGCCAUGCGGAGGUUUCGCCUGCGAUCGGAGAUCGGUCGGGCGGCUACGGAGAGGGAGGAGAGCGAAGGAAGCGAGACGCGAGACGGCUUCGAAGCGGAGAGGAAUAUCGGAACCCUGGCGACCGCUUCCAUGGAUCCAGCGGAGAUGAAGCCCGGGGUUCGAUUCUUGCAUUUUAUAUAUACAGUCGCGAACAAAUUACGUGUCGCCACUUCUUGGAGGAAGCACUGGAUGGAAGAGUCACGGAAACGAAUUCUUUCCCCAAAACAAAAGGCCAAAAUAAAUAAAUAAAUAAAAUAAAGGAGCCGCUCCCUCUGCCGGAGCGCGUGGUCUGGCCGCCACGCAGUUAUUGGCCCGUGCGGUGGGCCCGGAGGGUGCCAACCGCGCAAGGGUCGGAGCCGCGGGGGUUCGACCUUUUUUGGAUUUUUUUCAUAAAUAUCAUUUUAAAUAUCAAAAUUUGUAUGAAUAUUUUUUUAAUUGAUAUAUAUAUAAUAUUUAUUUUGCUAUUUUAUUUUUUAUUCUUAUUUUUGCACGUAUAUCUAUAUUAUCUAACGCCUUUAAAAAAUUAACGGUUUUAAAUUAAAAUUAAUGAUUUUAAAUUAAAAUUAAUGAAUAGAAGUGCAGGAAAAAAUAUUUAUAAGGCAAUCAUGAUAGAGUACAAAAAAAGUAAUAUCAAAUUUUUUUUAUUUUUAAUUAAAAUAAAUAUUGUUUUUAUUACUAUAUUAGGGGCAAAUGUGGGAAAAUAGUAUUUAUGAGGGUACAGAAAUAAAUAUAAAUUUUAAGAGAAUAUUUAUACAAAUUUAAAUUUUUAGAAAAAUAUUCAUGCAAAAAAAAUCAUCUUUUUUUUUUUACGAUGCAAACUGUUGCAUUGCGAAUUACACAUAUAUCAAAGCACGCCGCAUGGAUCUCAUCAAAACAAUUCUUGAAUCGAGGAUGGUUCGAGCUUGAAUCAAAUCGUACGUUGAUUCAAGCUUGCAAGCUUGGAUUAAUAUUUAGUUGAUAAAUUUAAAAGAUAAAUAAAAUAUAAUAAUUAAAGCUUUAGUUCAAUGAUUUAUUAUUUUUAUAAUAUAGGAUAUAAUAUAAAAUAUUUUAAAAUCUUAUCGAACCAAUUUUUUGCUUGGUUUUUAAAAUUAAAUUUAAGCUUUCUUUGUUGGUUCAAGCUUAGUCACACUUGAGUCAAGGCUUUCUCCAGCUGUUGCAUUUGUUUGGGGGACCUAGUACAAAAUACUACCAUUAUUCAAGAUUGGUAUAAAAUAAAAGUUUCUUAUGUUAUUUAGCUUUGAAAAAAAAAGAUAAAUUUGUUCAGAUGAAUUGAGAUUUAAUUAACUGCCUGGGCAAAAGCAAUAAUUGCCUUCCCUCGGGGGAAAAAAAAAACAAUGACUGCCCAACAAACUUAAGAGAAAGGGCCACUGAUAGAUAUUCGCUAAGAAAAACUCUGAAAUUUUGAAUUUUAAGGAUGUUUCUCGUCAAGUAACGUUACAGGCCCCAGCCAUGACACGUUCAACUGAAAAAAAGGGGAAAAAAGGAAUAUUCUAAAUGAUGAGCACACGUGUGUCAUGGUGCGAACAAUGCUAUCGCACGGGACAUUGAAAUUAUUAAUAUUUUUUCUCUUUUUGGCAUGAACACUUCCAACCCGAGACUCUAAAAACUCAUUCGAACUCAUCUGGUUCUUAUUUUUUUUCUUAUUAAAGUAUUUUUUUUGAAAAGCUAAUAUCUGCACCUAUGAUAUUUAAAAAAUAUUUUUUAUAUAUUUAGUUGACUAUAAAAAAUUAGCUUAGAGUAUAUUUUCUCAAAAAAUUAUAUAAAAUAUAUCUGUUAUAAUUAAGUAAAAAAUUUACCGUAAUUUAUCUAAACUCAAACAUUUUUUAAAAAAUAAUUUUCAGCUAGUAAAAAUUGAUUUUUUCAUAUUUUAUUCAUUUUAUUUUGAGAACUUAAAUUACAUAUAAGAUAUUUUUUUAUUAUUUUUGUUGAUCGAGAAUUUCUGCUAUUCCCGAGAAAUGUCCAAUUUCUUAUCUCUUAAUGCUCCUUUAUUUUUUUUGGACUCAUUUGGUUCACGAAAAAACUUUUAUUCAUUAGAAUACUUUUUUUGAGAAGAUGAUUUCUGAGAACAUGAUGUCUAUUUUAGCAUGUUUGGUUGAUCAUGAAAAAGUGGUACAUUAUAGAGUGGCUUAUGUUUUGUUGAGCAUCUAUUUUUCCAAAAAAGUUGCAUGAAAUACUUAUACUUUUUAGGAAAAAAAAGACAUUACCCAUGAAUUUUGAUAGCUUAAGAGUAUUUUUUUAAAAAAACUCCAAUUCUCAAUCGAUGAAAAAGUAGCUUUUCCAUAUUUUUUAUAUUUUUUUAUAAAAUAUAAAACUCCAAUUCUCAAUCUAUACUUUUUUUUUGCAGAUAACAUAGAAACAGUUCUUAAUCACUGUAUAAAUUAUAAUCAGAUAAUGGUCUUACAUAUCCAGUAAACUAUUAUCCCUUUAUCCCUGGUGGGAAAUGAUCUGGACAGAGAUAUUUCCAUUAUAAUUAUUAUCAUAAUUGCUUAAAAAUACUUAAUACAUAUGAAUUGCUUGCAAACUUGAGCUGCUGCCUUUUUUUUAGUCAUCAGGGCUAAUGUCCCAAAGUUGAAUGAAUGAAUGUAGAUGAUGUCUUUGAGCGAAAAACCGGCAUUGCAAAAGCUGUGGAAAAUGAACUUGAGAAGGUACUUAAUCUGUAGUUUAUUUAAACUUUUGCUCCAAUCAAUGACUAAUUGAGUGUAAGCUUCUGUGCUAAUCUGUUGUGCAGGCCAUGUCAACAUAUGGGUACAAGAUGGUGCAAACACUCAUUGUGGAUAUUGAGCCUGAUGAGUGAGUUAAGAGAGCUAUGAAUGAGAUAAAAGCAGGUAAGUCUGCUAUUUGUUGGCUGGGAGUGUGGAUUGCGCAAAAUGUUUGUCUUAACAUUUGCAUCUAUACUUGCUGCAAAUAAGUUUGACCUGCAAAUUUAAGCAGAUGUGUCUUUUUCCUUAUGAAUCAUAAGUUAUAGAGAACCAGCUACAUGCUUAACAGUUCAUAUUUGCUUUGUAAAGAAUUUGCUUGCAUGUUAGUGACCACUGUGACACUGGCUGCUGACAACUGAUGUAUGUUUGCAAAUGUAGUUUUAAUUGCAAUAGGCAUCAAGAAAACUAGUUAUCCUUGGGAUUUCCAUUUCUGUUAUUCCUUUUUUUCUUUCAUGCAUUCAAGAAAACAGCAACCUUUGCUUGGAAAAUUUUAUUUCUCUUCAUAAAAUAUACAACAAUAAAAAUAUGGAAAUACCUGCCCAAGAAUCUGUUAACAUAAACUGACAAUUGUAUGACAAUUACCUGCUCUAAACCAUGGUCGGUCAGAAUUGAAAUGGAUGCUAAACACUCUGGUGGUAGUUUUAGAAGUGUUAGAAUUUCAUAUGAUUUCUAUUAAAUCAUUCCCCACCUCCGGAUUCUUUUUAACUGUAUUAUUAAUUGCUUAAACAGCUGCUAGGAUGAGGCCUGAGGGUGGCAGCUAAUGAGAAAGCUGAAGCUGAGAAGAUACUGCAAAUCAAGCAGGCUGAAAGUGAUGCAGAAUCCAAGUACUUAGCAGGGCUGGGCGUAGCACGACAAUUGCAGGCCUUUGUGGAUGGUCUGAGGAAUAGCAUUCUUGCUUUCUCAGGAAGUGUGCCUGGAACCACAGCAAAAGAUGUUUUGGACAUGAUUCUAGUUACCCAGCACUUUGAAACCAUGAAGGAGAUUGGCGCAUCCUCAAAGACUUCAUCUGUGUUUAUUUCACAUGGGCCUGCGGCUGUAAAGGACAUUGCUUCUCAGAUAAGAGAUGGACUCCUCCAGGCUAAUACAAGUCAGCGAAGUGGUCUUGAGAAGCAAUAUAGGCCAAUGCAGAGGCAUGGAACAUACUAUUUCAGAGAAACUUUGGGGAAUAAACAUGUGGAUAUCUUGCUGGCUGCAGCGAAUAUUUUGGUCUAGUAGGAGAAACUAAUAGCUUAUACUGGAGCCAUGAUGCUGUCACUUUGUGAAAUCUGAGAUCGGUCAAAGAAGCAAUUAUAGUUCAUGAAACCUUAUAGUUGCCAUAUUUUUCAUGAUAUUGAGCUCAUGUUUAUUACCUCUUUGUAUCUCAUGCUCAGUACCGCUCAAGUUAUGCAUUUGUUCUCAUUGGCUGGAUGAUUUAAUGAGAAUGACACAAAUAUUUACAAGUCACUCUACAGUUACAAAUUUCAGAGUCCAACCUGCUACCAGAUGAAAUUUACAGGGAGUGAGAUCACUGUAUGAGGAUCUUGUCAUGAUGCUGUCAUCCCCAAUGCUUCUCAGUUUUUUUCAACUAUCAGCUCAGCUCCCAUUAAGAGGAGCAGCCCAAAUGUGCGAUCUACUGCAUGAGUCAACCACUGAUUGUGGCAAGGUUAACUUGAUUACGGGUUACAGUUUCACCUCAGAAAGGUCAAGCUAACACAGUUAGCAGUGGAUAUUGAAAACAAGUUAGACCUGCCUUGCUUGAUAAUGUGGUUAAAUGGAAUAUUUUAACAAGAAUUUUUUUUGGGACAUGGUAAAUAUUCACAGUUAACCCACGACUAAAUAGAUAAUAAAAUCAGAAAAAAAAAUAUAAAUAGACAUGGAUGAUAUAUUGACAGAUCAAAGAUGUAAUGCUGGGUUCAACUACUGGCCAUUCGCUAGUCCCAGCACCUGGGAGUCUGUGAUGCAUGCGUGCUCUGAUAUUCAAUAACCAUUUGCGGCCUGCCUCUGCACUUCAGAAGAAACUAUAUGGAAGUUUUGAUCAGGAAUUUGCAGGCACAUUCUAUUAUUGGAUCCUGCGAGCCAUGAGCAACUUCACAGGCGACAGCUAUUUUCAGGCAGAAAUAAUACUAGCAUUGCAUAAUAUUUGUGGGUUCUACCAAGUUAAUAACCUUUUUGCAUAAAGCCAUCCCCAUGCCUGAAAGUAGAAUCAGGUCAAUGUUUACAGUGUUUAAGUCGCCUUGCAGAAAGCCGUGCUGCAUCUUGAAGUUUACCAUCUUACGCAGCAGAAGCAUACCCUAUCAUCAUAGCACAGCAACCCAAUCAUGUGAAAAUAAGCGCUCAAUUCCACGAUAUAUAUACAAAACAUUUGAAACAAGUACUUGAAACAUUCAUUUUUCCUUUCCAGUAAAAUAUAAAUCUUUAGAACAUUCACACAUAACCUGGGAACUAUGUUGUGUGCAUUCUUGUCGUAGUGAAUAUUUCAAAGACUGACCUAGAAAGUGCAAGAGCCCUCACCAAAGCAAAGAUCAAAGAGCUCCUUUGAAUGGCACACCAUAUGUAUUGCUGCCAGUAAGCUUCUUGCAGCCUAUAAUAAACUUCAAAGCUUAAGGAAUCAUAUUUCCUUUUACUAUUAAGGAAUCAUAUUUCCACUUCUCUUGUGGUUGUAAAUGCAAUCUGUAAUGUGACUAAUGUCCAUUGACCGUGUUGCAUCCCCAUGAUACAAGUUCCUUACAAUCCCACCAAAUUAACAAACCUAAAUAACUCAAUUUAUAUAAACAAGAGAACUCAAUUUUUGAUAACCAGGAACUAUUCUUAGUAUACAGUCUCACCAAAAAACAUGAGAAGCUCUUCAUUGCAGACUGCACACUAAAGAGCAUUGCAAAGCAACCAUGUAACAGCUGCAUUUAAAUGAGGACUAAUCACUCAUCACUAGAGUACUCAUCCUCUUUAUCUUCAUGUUCUGUGACAACUUUCUCGAUGAACUUCUUUCGAAUUCCUUUUAUGACAGCCUUCUUUGAUGGAUCACUCCCACUCUGACCAUCAUUGAGCACUGGAUCAGACUGGCAAAGGGUUAAAGCAACAGCUGGAGGGAAAAAAGAAAAGAUCUUAGUAAUAAAUCAAUAGAUCAUGAACAGCUUUGCAAGCAACUUCAGAUGCACAAAUUGGUUGUCUGACAACAUGCUUUUAAUAGCAGAAACUAGGCAUAUGUUCCACUCCAAACUACAAUGGAAGAUGUAGGAAUUGAAAAAUGCAGUGGUCUGGUGAUAUAGCAUAAGAACUUGUGGUAAAAUCAGCAGGUAAUGUUCCAAUGAAGGUGAUGCUUAAACUAAUCUCUGAUGUGGAAAUUCAAGUCCAAGCACAGGAACAGAUUCAAGAUGCAUCAACAAGAACAUGAACAAUUAGUCUCAUCCCAUAGUUAUAGGUUUGGCUCUAGAACCUACACAAUAGUUUCAAGGUUAUUUAUGUGUAUUUAUAUGUAUUUUUUAAUGGAGAGCAUGUAUGUAAUUUUUCAAUGAAUUUGAUGAGAUUUUAGCUUUCUACUGGCUCAUUCGACGCUUUCUUCUUCUAAGCAGAUUCUCUUAACUUGUUUAUGAAUUACCACUAGUUGCAAUACAUGCCAAUCAGGUAUAUUGUUGACAAAGUUAAAUAAACAACACAUAGUUUAUAUUCACCGACAAAGCACAUUGCUAGAUCAUGCUAGGCGGACAUCAAAUAAUUUAUGCAGAUGAAAACCUCGAAACAAAUACAUGAAGUUUAGUCUCUAAAAUGAUAACCUGUCAAGGAUGAUUCCUUUUAGUUUUGAGCUGAGCCUAUUAUGAAAAUUUCACUCAUCGUUUCAUAGUUGUCUCUAAAGCAAAUAAAGAAGCCAUUAGAAUAAGAUAACAUUCAUUAUUUUGUCACAUCAUGGGAACUUUUUUUAUACAUCAGCCAAGAUUAUUUCAUCUCUUCUUUCCUAUCUUAUAAUGGUUUUCCACUCAUUGAAUAUCAAGAUCAAAGCAUCAAAUGAUAGUUGACCGUGUUUUUACCACAUCAGCCGAUAUCUCCAAGAUUUUAUAUUGGCUGAUAACAUCUGGAUCAGUUAAUUGCUUUAGAAAUUAUUCAGACUUCCAUCUUGACUGAGAAAAACCAGUAUCUUAUUUCAUUUCAGUUAUAGACCCACUCAGAUUGCCGAGUUAUUACUACUUAUAUAUUUCAAAUUUAAUAUAUAGAUGAUUUUGAUCAAAAAUAAAAAAUAAAACAGUACAAGCCUACAAUAUGGAGUUAACCUCAGAAAACAUAUGUCCUAAAUCAAAUGGCUAUUACAAGCAUAAAUGCCACAAAAACGCAUCAAGUUCUUUGACAUGCAAAGUAGGUGGGGCUGAAAAAUCUCCAUUCAUAACAGUUGCAUGGGUUACCUUCAGGUGUGCAUCUCCGAGCACCAAACUGAUGCAACCCUACAUAAGUUCCUUUAACUGCACCAUUGUUGUAAACCAAAACAGUUGGGAGGUUGCGGUCUGGGUAGUUCGGAAUGCAAUCUGUGGAGAUUAUCUUUACAAAUUUUGUUGCAGGGUAUCUGGUGGCCAGUUCUUCCAGGCAACGCAACAGUAUCCCACAUUCUGGUAUUCUGCCAUCCAAAUUACAGAACCAAUCCAAAAAAAGGUAAACACCACAAAGAAAUAGUACAAAUGAAUGCGGCGAAACAAAAAAAUAGUUGUGAAAUAGAUAGUCUUCAUAGGCAUAGGAAAUACUACACAUUGACCCAGAACCAAAUUUUGACAAGUUUGCUGAUCACUGGCAUCCGACUGGCAAAGAAUAGUUCGCAGAUAAUAAUGAACAGAUUUUAUUUCUAAACAACCUGCAAAUGCUCUUCAGGCUAUCACAGUUGAAUUCGAGUUGGGAUGAAAAAUUUACUGGUUGACAAUAAGGAACACUCACAAAAAAGAAAAAAAAGUUGUGGCUUUAAUCAAGAGUUCAUCAACGAGAGGGAAUCAGCCAAGAGAGAAAGCUUGAAAUCUCCCCAAAACCAAAUUUUUAAACAAUAAGAUAGAAGAGAAGCCCUAAAAUUACCCAUCCUUGUAGAGGAACACGACGACCCAGACAUCGGGCGGCGCCUGCGAGACCUCCCGAACGAAAUCCGAUCCGGAGAUGGGGACCACCGACCCGAACCGCGAAAUCCUGGCCUCCUCUCGCAUCUCGGCCAGCCUCUUCUUCCUUCACCACAGCCAAACCACAGGAAACCGUACAAUACAUUAAAAGAGAAAGGAUCGACGGCAAAACAAAAUAACCCUAGGAGGAGAGGAGGAGAGGGAGGAGAUUACCUGUACUCCUCGAGGAAUCGGUCGUCAUCGAGAUCGAGAUCGUCGUCAAGCUCUUCGAGGGUGCGUUCGUCGAUCCAGGCCUUGGAUUUGGGCUGGAGGUCGGGGUCCUCGGCAGGGACGAAGGGAGGGGGUUUGAAGGGCUCGGGCUUGGGGGGAAGGUUGCCGAGCUUCCGCUGGAUGUCGUCCCACUGGGUGCUCGCGCCCUCCACGUCCUUGUACACGAAGUGGUAAUCCGCCAUGGCUUCCUCUCUCUCGCGAUCUCUCCGGAGUCUGGAAUGGGGACUAUCGGAGCGGAAGCUCAAAAGCGGAGGCGGCGUGGGAGCUCCGAGAUCUCCAAUUAUCUAACUUGGGUCGGACGAUAUCGAGAUCUACAUUAUCUAACUUGGAUCAGACGGCCAAACGCUUUUGAUCUAGUUUGAUGCGCUUCGGCUUCGCUUUCCCGAGGGCAGGCGAUUACGCUCUUUUAAGGGGCCAUGUAUAAAACUGCUUAAACUAUAUUUAAGCUGGUGUCGUCAACCGGCUCGCCGGGUCUGGUUCAGAUUUAGCCCAAACACUUCUCUAGGUAAACCGUCCCUCCGGGAGUUGUUCAGAUUUAGUUCGAGCACUUCUCUACCUAAAGCUAGGGAGCCACAUCUAGCUUUUAUUAUAUCUACAUAUAAUAAUUUAUAAAAUCUGUACUUACAUCUAGUUAAAUUAACAAUAUUAAUAAAAUUAUUUAUCUCAUGUAAAAAAGCCGAAAUUGUCUUAAGUGGGAGGAAGAUAUAUAUAUUUUCUUAACUUCGUGGAUAGUUGUUAUGUCACUUAAGAUUAUUUUAGUUAUUUUUGAAAAAAAAAUUAACACAGUAUUUAGGUUCCAUUUAAGAUUAAUAGUUCGACUGACAUUCUCAAGUUAUGGAAUAAAAUAUUGAAUAGAAAUAAACCUAUAGGGAUAAGCAUAAAUUUUUUGAACUAUUGGAUGUAAAUAUAAUUUCUCCCUAAUCUUACAUAGAUUUUAUUGUAAUUUACUCCUAUUAUUGUGAUUUAAAAAUUGCACUUGCUCUUUGCUACCAUAUCGUAGUUUCUUCUUUAAAUUAACCACAUCAUGUAUUUGAGAAGCAGUAGAGCAGUCCAGUACCUCUGGUCAAGCAAGAAGCUAUGAAGCAGUAGAGCUCAUGGUAAAAUUUCCAAAGAGUUGAGAUCCCUGACCAGUUCCAUGAAGGAACCGAAUCUUGGCGACCAUGAUUCUGUUGAAACACAUUAAUUCUAAACUUGUCUUAGUUGGUAAUCAUGAGAUGCUACGUGUUCGCCAGGUUGUCUCAGAUAUGUCAUCUGAAGUGGGAGAAAUUUUAGUUUUUGGUCUCAAGCGCUCUUCAGAUAUCUGGCAAAGCACAGGAUAGAAAAGCAGGUUAGGAGCAACUGCACUAAAAGCAUAGAGCUGCUGAAUGUGAUGGAGAUGCAGCAGAUGCCAUUGGUCCUGAUGCAUGCCACUGGCUUUUAUUUUGAAAAAAAAGAGAGCAUGGUUUUACAUCUGGAUCAUCACCUUGUCUACCAAUCUAUGGGGCUGGCUGCAACUAGAUUUCCAGACAGCCUUACUAAGAGGAAAUCUGCUUGUCUGCAUGACUCUGUUUUAGUUUUUCCUUCUCGUUUUUCUGCUGGUCCUUCUUUACUUGGUCAUAUUUUUCGGAUGGCUUUAAUUUUGUUUCAUUUUAUUUUUUGUUCCUUUGAAUGCAUUUGAGGUAUCCUGUUCAUGAUUAUUGUUUCCAUUUUUGUUUAUGAUCACAAUGAUCAUCAAUCUAGGCACUGUCUUAUCAAGAUUCAAUGCAUUAUCAACUGCUGCUUGCAUGAUAAUAUCCUUGUGAAGCUUAGGCGAUGUCAGCGCCCUUGAUGCAUUCCUAAAAUUCUUAGCAGGAUCAAGUUCUUUUCUGAAUGAUAUAACAACCUCUAUAGGAAUUGCUUUGAAAGUAGAAUUAAAGCCUAGUCUCAUUUGUGAUAGAAACUAUCUAUACAGCUUCUAGUGAAACAGAUUAGUUUCUCAAAUGUCUGAUUAUGAUGGCAUGCUUAGUAAUAGGCGCUUGCAACAUUUUCAGAAGUGUUUACACCAUAAUUUAAACUUUGGAUAUAGUGCACAUUGGUGGCAUCCAAGAUGUUAGUCUUGCUGUCCUCUUCUCAACCUUGCAUGUUGUUAGGUCUAAUCAAGUUGGACUAAACAAUAGGGGCCUUCUUAGGACAGGACCUUGGAUAGUAGGACUUGUUAUGAUAGAGGAAAAUAUUGAUGGAAGUUCUGCUGAUUGUUCUUUGGAUUAAGAACUUGGGUUCUAUUCUUUUUUUACGAUUAGUCUUUUUUUUAUCCACCCUCUUUCAAACUUUGUGGUUGAGCAUACGGAGAACUCUUGUACUUAAUGCAUGCCAUCCCAAUAGUCAUUAGCAUUUUCACAUGAUCUUCAUUUGACUCGCAUAUUAUUCUUGCAGUCUUAUUUAACUUCAUCUUCCAAAUUUUCAUGCAUGCAUGAAGAAUGUUAAAGACAUUCUCAAUCUACUAUUUCGUAUGGUUAGUUCACAUAAAUGAAUUCGAUUUCUCUCAAAGAACAAGACCUGAAACCCAAGUUUUCCCUACAAUUUUACUUAGCUGGAAGAUUUUUAUAUGCUAAAAAUGGGUGACUACAAUAUUUAGUUGUAUAUUUAGGUGGUAAGCUGUUGGAAUCCUUGCAGCUUGCAAUGCUCAUCAGAUGACUUGGAAGUGCCUUGAUAGCUCUGCAUGAACCGAGAUGCCUAACCUGUUGCAAAUGUUGUGCAUCAACUUAUAUAGAUAUCAUGUUUUGUGUUUUUAUGUGGUGAGAAUUUACUGGCUAAGUCUAAGGCUUAUUUAUUGUUAUCUUAAAAUUUAGUAAGUACCCUUUACAUUUUGAGCUCUUCGAAAAUUUCAAACCUUUUCAUUCACUGGAAUUUGGCAAAGCUGCUUAUAUCCAAAUAUACCUUAUCAAGCUAGUAAAAUCUUUUAAUAAUGAUAAUAGAAAGCAAGUUCAAUUCCUCCUCCCUUCACAUAGAAAUCUGUCUAUGGCCUCCUUUGUUCUUUUUUUAUUUUAAAAAACUAAAUUUAAGGUUAAAAAAUUUCGAGAAAGUUUUGUAAGAAAAUAUAGUAACUUCUAAAUUUAAAAAGUUGAUACAAAAUUUUAAGGCUAGGAUAAAAUUUUCCUAGGCUCUUCUGCAGUAGCUCGCCAACCCACAAUAUGAUCAAGUUCUGAAUAAAAUUUGCAUGAAAUUAUAAUUAGCUUAUUUUAGAGUAUAACUAGUAUAAAAUAAAACUUGCAUCGGUCUUGUACAAGCUUGUUAUCUCUAUACUAUCUUUGUUUAUUAUGCUCUAACAAGUUUAGUUUUGGUUAUUUAUACUGCAUAUAAUUCUUGUGAUGUAUUUUCUGAACUCUGCCCUUAAAGUAAAUCCUACUCAAAACUUAUAUAAAAGGUACUAAAAACUGUUGCAAGUUUUUAGUAUAUGAACAUGGUAAGGCAAAAAAAAAUCUAGUUGGAGGGCUAGUGGCAUCCUUCCACACUAGCUCACCAACCCAUUGGUCCAGGUUGUACAAGUGUUAAAUGAAAUUUUCACGAGGUUGUGAAUAGUUGAAUUAAAAAUAUUAUUAGUAUAACAGAAAACUUACAUAGACCUUGAGCAAGUUAGUCAAUAUGUUAGCUCCAUAUUGUACUUGUUUAUCGUGCUCUAACAAGUUCUGAUAUUUAUUUAUUUAUUUAUUUAUUUAUUAUUGAAUAAUUUUAUGAAGCAGUUAUCAUUUUAGGUGUGUUUUCAAAUGCUAUCUUUUACAAAUAUGUAUAAAUUCUAUUCAAAAUUUAUGUAGAAAGUAUUAAAAAUAUGCAAGUUGUCAACACUAAUAGAACUGUUCAAAUGUCAGGCGGCCUACCAGCUCCGCUCAAGCCCAAUGUGUUUCGGACAUGUCUGGGCUGGGGUUUUAAGCUCGGUAGAUCAAGUUGGGCUAAAAAUUUGAGCCUGCUCAUUAAAUGAGCCAAGCUCAAGUUUACGUUGUCUUGGCCCGAAUCUAGAAUGUAUAUAAAUAGAAAAUAUAUUACAAGUGGAUGCCCUAGCUCAUCAUUAGUCUUUACUUCUCACCACGGUAGUGCCUCCGAUCAUUGAGCAUUGUCCGACGAUCUCUCGAUCUCGUCAAGAGUCUCUAGGUCCUCAAUGCUAGGAUCGAUCUGCUUCGGUGGCUUCUCACUUCCUAAGAGGAUCAAUGACAAAAGGAUUGACGGCUUGAUCGGGUCUCCACCAAGAAAGUGUAGACCGUCGGUGCUGAGGGACAUGCAAACUCCCAUUGUCUUGUCCGGUCCCACACCCUCCUAGUCUCCAACCUCCACGUUGUUGCCUUACCUCCUCUAAUCCUUCGCUCACCUCCACCUCUUUAGCAAGCUUCGUGACCUCAUGUCCCACAUUGCUGACCGCCUUAACCUCGCCAAGGCCAUUGAUAUGCAUUGCGAGAUCAAGCGUAGCCUUGUCGGCAUCUCCGUUGUUGAGGACGAGACACUAGCAACAGGCUCUCAUUCGAGGCCAUGAAGACUUCUUGCAGAUCUAAGAUGCAGACAAGACGAUAAAAGCCCAAGGAUCAGCCUAAAAGUUCGAAGUCUGAUAAAUAUCAGCUCAAGCCUAGAAUGUAGGCUCGAGAGUCCGGCCGAGUUCGGAUCUAAUUAAAUUAAGCGAUAAAUUAGGCCGAACUCUAGCUUGAACCCAAUUUGUCAUGCUUGUUGAGCGGAUCUACAUGCCAGUAUAGAUGUGGCAUGAAAAUCUAACUUUAUAUUUGUCCAAUUUUUAAAAAAAUUGUAUGCAAAGCGAAAAAAAAUUAUAACAAAUACUGAAUUUGUAACAUAAAAAGUAGUGUAUGUUUUUAUGAUAUCCACAAAAUCUUAACAUAAGAAAAUUAUGUAACAUUAAGAGUAUUAAGAUAUUAUUGAAAAUAAAGAAAGCUUCGUUUGGAAGAAAAAUGGCGGCAAAGAGACCUAGCAACACAAAUCUGUUCGUAACCGUCGAUGCAACAUGUGUCGCCGGCCCACCGCCUUGUCUUCUGUCUUUCCCUAGCCUUCUCUCCCCUACGGCUAUAAAUACCCCCGGUGUAAGCGAGGCAAGAGAUGUCUUGGCGCUGGGAUCUGCGUGGAGUGAAGCCGGGCAAAGAGAAAUCUUGAGAGAGCGAGAGCGAGAGCUCAAACAAAGGAGAAGAGGAGGAGGGAAAGAAAAAUCCUCCCUCGCCUCCGGAAGCGAUGACGGACGGCCAUCUCUUCAACAACAUCCUCCUCGGAGGACGCGGCGGAACCGUAAUCCCCUUCUCCCUCUCUCUGGUGUUUGUCUCGCUUUCGGUUCUCUUUUGACCGCUCUAGGGUUGUCUUGAGUCGUUUGCGAUCUUUCGUUCAUUCUUUCCUUCUUCUUUUUCUUUUUAUUAUUCUUCUUUUUUACGAUUUGAAGGAAGCAUAUAGAUUUUUCUUUUUUCUUUUUCCCCUUAUAUCUGGGGAGAUCCAGUGCAUUUCGCGUUCCUAUGGUUUCUUUUCUAGGUAUCGGUUUGGUUGAUUUGGGGAGGUUGAACAUGGGUUAUCUUUGAAGGCCUUGGAAGUCUUGUUAGGGUUUUCUAUUAUGAAAGUGCUCGAUCGUGGAACCCAGGGCAGUUGAGGGUGCAUGCAGGCGGGAUUGCAUGGAGGAGGCAAGGUGGUGGAAAAAUUAUUGAAGUAGACAAAGCAGAUAUUGCUUCUCUGACCUGGAUGAAAAUUCCUAGGGCAUAUCAGCUUGGGGUGAGGAUCAAGGAUGGCUUGUUUUACAAAUUCAUUGGCUUCCGUGAACAUUUUAAGUUGGUUUUUCAUUCCCGUUAAACGAAUCUUUCGUCACUUCUAUCAGUUGUUCCUCGCAGAAGAUUUUUUCCCCCUUUUUUGGUUAAAUCAAGAUAAAGAAACAAAGGGGGUACUUGGGCCUGCUGGUGCUAAUACGUUCGCAAUAUUUUAUAUUAGAUUUUUUUGGCAUUUUUUAUAUGUGUUACCGUGGAAUUUUGUUUAUUUGUUACCACUGAAUUUUGUUUCUUACGAUAUUUUUCCAUGUCUUCUGUCAAUUUAUUGAUGAUGCAAUGCAUCCAAGAUAUUCCUAAUUAGGAGAAAAAUUAAACUGGGGAUUGGGAUUUUUUCUAUUUUGUUUUUACCAUUAUUGACUAAUUCUUUUUUCCCUUAAAUAAAUUAUGGGUAUCAUCUGCCUGUUGUAUCUGGUUCCACAAAUUCAAUUAUCACUUGGUGCAGAUGGUUUCUAGGAUACUUUAUCUUUUGCUUAUAGAAGAAAUGUUCUUUAUAGGUCCUGGGAACUUUUUACGUCAUCUGGUGCACCAGUAAUGAAAAAAUUUGCAAAAAUCUUUUAUAAACCUAUUUGGUCAUCAAACAAUCUUUGGAUAUAUGAAGUUCUAUUGCUUUUUUUUAAGUGUCUUACCUUUUCAUUGUUUUUGCUGAUUAUAUUUGUGCAANNNNNNNNNNNNNNNNNNNNNNNNNNNNNNNNNNNNNNNNNNNNNNNNNNNNNNNNNNNNNNNNNNNNNNNNNNNNNNNNNNNNNNNNNNNNNNNNNNNNNNNNNNNNNNNNNNNNNNNNNNNNNNNNNNNNNNNNNNNNNNNNNNNNNNNNNNNNNNNNNNNNNNNNNNNNNNNNNNNNNNNNNNNNNNNNNNNNNNNNNNNNNNNNNNNNNNNNNNNNNNNNNNNNNNNNNNNNNNNNNNNNNNNNNNNNNNNNNNNNNNNNNNNNNNNNNNNNNNNNNNNNNNNNNNNNNNNNNNNNNNNNNNNNNNNNNNNNNNNNNNNNNNNNNNNNNNNNNNNNNNNNNNNNNNNNNNNNNNNNNNNNNNNNNNNNNNNNNNNNNNNNNNNNNNNNNNNNNNNNNNNNNNNNNNNNNNNNNNNNNNNNNNNNNNNNNNNNNNNNNNNNNNNNNNNNNNNNNNNNNNNNNNNNNNNNNNNNNNNNNNNNNNNNNNNNNNNNNNNNNNNNNNNNNNNNNNNNNNNNNNNNNNNNNNNNNNNNNNNNNNNNNNNNNNNNNNNNNNNNNNNNNNNNNNNNNNNNNNNNNNNNNNNNNNNNNNNNNNNNNNNNNNNNNNNNNNNNNNNNNNNNNNNNNNNNNNNNNNNNNNNNNNNNNNNNNNGCGCAAGUGCAGGGAAUCGUGUGCGGGAAUCGCGUGCACGCGAUUCCCUGUGUGGGGACCGAGGUUCGUACCAAAAAAAUGCGCGCAGGCGCGAGUCGGGGACAUGUUUCCCCACUCGCACCCGCGCCCCCAUGCACGGGACGACCUCUCUCCUUUUUUUUUCCUUCUGCUGUUCAUCUUGCCGACCCUUCUCCUCCUCUUCUUCCUGAACUCUCUCUUUCUCUCCUUUCUUUCCCUCUCUCCUCCUCUCUUCUCCUCUCUUUCUCCCUUCUCCCGCGAGCAAAGAAGGGGCCGGAACCGCACCGGAAAACAGGUGAUCCUCGUCGGCCCGAGGGAGGAGGUCAGCCUGAGGGAGGAGGUAGGCUUCUUCUUCUUCUCCUCUCUCUUCUUCUUCCUCUUCUUCCUCUUCUUCUUUCCUCUUCUUCCUCUUCUUCUUCUCCAGUGCCGGUACCGGGCUUGUACUGGUGCGAACCGCACCAGUUCCCACCGGUACGGUCAAGGAGUCUUUUAGGGGUCGGAACCGAAUUCUGUGGCGGUACCGGUGCCGAUACUGGCCGACACGGGUAUGGUACAGGCUGAACCGGUCGGUUCCGACCGGUUCAGCUAACCUUGAUUGUAUCAAUACUUGAAAAACCUACCCAGCCAUGAUAAUGCAGAACCGACCGGUUUAGCUGACCUUGAUUGUAUCGAUACCCGAAAAACCUACCCAGCCAUGAUAAUGCUUGAAAUCGAGCAGUAUGGGUUGGUGCAGCACAAAAUUGGCAGGAAUUAAUUGAUUCUUCAUAGUAGAGCCUGAAUCAGUCCUUGCACUUUAUCGAAUCUUAGUAUUGUACUAGAUUACCUUACUGGCAUGGUAUGGUAUGCCCGAUACUGCAUGUUUCAUGUUACAGGUUGGUAUAGUGGACCAUGGUAUGGUCAUAAAGGUGUUAUGUGGUUGACAAAUUUUGCUAAAUGGUUUAUACGGAAGUCAAGAAUGAACUGGUUCUAUGAACAAAUUUGUUUGGUUGCUUUCUUUAGAGCUUAUUUAUGAACAGAAGUCCAGACUCUAGAGUUUUAUCUAUUAAUGGUGAUAUUUUGUUUGGUGAAUUAUGUUUUAUGAUUGCGGACUUCUAUAUUUGUUGUUAUUUGAUUGCUGAAUAUCUUUAUUUUAUGGUUGAUGUUAUAUGAUUGUGAAUGUUUUUAUCUUAUGAGAUGUUAUUUUGCUUGGUGGAUGAUGAUUCAUUAGCUUGCGGGCCUUUAUAUUAUGUGGAUGUUGACAUGAUAUUAUGAUGUUUGGUGGAUGAUGUUUUAUAGCAUUGUCCUUAAUUAUUUGGUAUUUUUGCAUGAAGCUGAUGUGAAAUAUUAGUUUUUGAUACUUAGCAAAGAAAAAUAUUGAUAUAUUUUACCAGCUCGCUUUGGGUAUGUAGCACCAGCUCUCCGUCAUCCGUUAUGAAACCCGUUGGCCCCUACAUGUUCGCUAUCUGAUUUUUAUUACAUUGAUUUUGCCAAAAGUAGUAAGUUAUGGAAUCUAAAUGAUUUCCCCUCAUAUUCACAAAGGUUUAUCUCCAGAGAAUCAUAUUUUUUAGUUAUUUGUUUUAUAUAAACUUAGAACAACUCUAAAAGGUUGUUUUUUAGUUUUGAGGGAUUCUAAAAGGUGUUUAAUGAAUAAUUUAAUGAAUAAUAAAUUAAUCAAACAAGAAAAUGUUGACUAGUUACUCAUGACAUGACAUGGCUUGAGAGUUUUCAUUAGAUCAUUUAUGGACCAUCAUUCAAGAUCAAUUAUGGACCAUCAUUAGGAGUAAAAUAUGGCAUCAAUAGUUUCUCGGAGAUGGGAAGAAAGGUCAGAUAAUUUUAUAGAUGUCUAAAGUUCAUCUAUUAUAAGAGUGAUUUUUCUUGGUUACUAGCACAGACAAACAUGCAAUGCAUGUGUGAGGAAAAAUAUAUGGCUAUGCAUUAUUAUGGAAAAAAUAUAUAUUUGUAUUCACAAUACUAUGUGAUAUUUCAAAUGGAUCAUAGUUUAUAUGGCUUAUUUUUGCUUUAGGUAGUUUGUUCCUAUGCAUGCGCGAUUGAAGUAGAGGAUAGGCAGGCACGGGAUAGUGCUGGAUUGGUUUGGUAGGAUAGAAUGCCGCUACCUAUAUUUUAUGAUCAGAUAGGGCGUUAAUGUAAUCUUGGUUUAUGUAGUUUAUGUACUAUUCCAACUUUGCUGGUUGAUCUUUUAACAUUGAGUAAUGCUAUGGUUUCCAAUACUGGAAUCAAAAGUUUGUUUCCAGUACUGGGAACUAUUGAGCCUUGUAGCAGUCUUUUCUAUUAUUAAACAUUAAAAUGUGCAAUACUUACCACUGUCACCAAUCGCCUAUCUUCUAGAUUUGUUUUGUUCAAAUAAGGAGAGAAUUUAUAUUGAUGUUAUGCCCACUUUAUAUCACUCCAAAAAAAAACAAUAUUUAUUUUGGAGAGAGAGAGCUUGUGCGUGGAAGAUUUGAACAUAAUCUUGGUGGAUUGGGUGGGAUAACAAGAUAAAGGUUGCAUAUGGGAGAUAUUUGAGAAAAGGCUAAACAUGGUUUCUUGAUGGUAUUUUGGCAAACAAGGUUAUAAAUUAGGUUUUGAGCAAGUGUUUUAAUGCAUCUGCACAUGCAGAUGCAGCUUGGGGACCACAUUUUAUUGGGGUUGGGCUGCAGUGUGAGGCAUUAGGCAUCUAUGUAGGGUACAUGGCCAGGACACGCUGCAUGGUGCAUAUCGAUUGUGAUGGUGAUGGAUGAUACGGUAUUUACCGAAGAAGAUCAACAUUUUGAGUGCCUUCUUAAAAACUGUUACUUAAAUACUAAUGUUUUGCUUUAGCUGGGUAUUUUAAACUCAAUUAUAAGUUAUGUAUUUUUGUUUCAUGUUUCUGUUAUUGUUCAAUAUGUAAAUUUCUUUGUUGCAUUAACGUACCUGAAUUUUGGCAUAGUUCAUAGGCUUUUUUUAUUUAAGGUUAACUUGCUGUACUACAUGAAAGCAGGCUUUUGAAUAAGUGUUGUAGUGUACACUUAAAGUUUCAGUUUUUUAAACUUAUUGUUUUGGUUUUUACUUACAUUUAUCUAUUUUAUGUAAUCUAUUUGUCUCUAGAUAUUUCUAAAAUACCAACCCUACAGGUGUAACUGCACAUGCACUGCAUAUGGCGUACCUCAAUUGCCUUUCUACUACUUCGAUCCUUAUGGAACAUUUCAAAGUUCUGUUCUUAAUCUCUAGUAUGUUAAAAUAGAGAUUCAUAAGCUAGGAAUAUUCCUCCUAGAUUUCAUCCUUCAUUUUUUUAAAAAUCAAAAUUCAAAAACACUCCCAUUUUUAAUCUCAAUCAAUUGUUUGCUCUUCCAUAUUUGUAGAUUAAAUUCCGGAAUUAGUCUGCAUAUUCUAGAAAUCAGUGAUAUUUUGAAACAUUUUUCUAAAAUCAAAUUAGUCAUUUAUCUGCUAAAGAAAGGCAAUAUUAGACUGGGUAUGGAUGUCUUAACAAGGAAAGAUUUUGAAAAUAGUUUGAACAGGUUUUCCAAAAUACUUAGAUGGUUCCGGUUGUUGAAAAGGAAGGACAAUCCUCCUCCACCCUUGACAAGUCUAGUGACAAUAUCCAAAUUGGUCUUGAAUUUCGAAAAUCAAUAAUAUCAAACUAUGGAUUCUGGCUACUAAAAAAUGAGAGAGAAAUUACUCACUCCCUCUGCUUUUAUUUCCAUAUAUAUCCAUUCUGAUUUGAGGCGAGACAAGCAUUUCGUAAUGUGGAUAGAUUUUGAUAUCUUGAUUUCAAAAGAUAUUUUUGAAAUAUUUUUUUUAUGUAAAUAAUAUUUUAUAGUUUGUGUAUAAGGUAAAUUAUAGUUUAUAUAUCCAUUAAACGUGCUUUGCACUUGCCUGGUUGUUGGUAACUUUUUAAAAUAGAUGGGCCUCUAAGAGUGCUUACUCUGUCCUAGUAUAGAAAUAAUUUGAUUGUCGUUAUAGUUACAUAUAUAUUAUGGGAUUCAUUAUCGGGGUCCUUGAGAAUAGCUGAAAGGGUAGUUGAUCAAUUCCUACUUGACUUAAAAGAUGCAUAUCAAUUCUUUGGAUGUCCUUUCUAAAAGAGUAAGGAAAAGUAGUUAAUUCUCUACCCAAAUAGAAACUAGCAAUAAGAAAGAGUCUGACAUCUUGGCUAACCUUUAUUGGCGAAAGAUUAUUCUCAGAAAUUCAGUAAACACCUCCAAGGCUAUACAAAUAGAGAAAAGAGUUAGGUCUCACUAACUUAAUUAGAAACUUGUNNNNNNNNNNNNNNNNNNNNNNNNNNNNNNNNNNNNNNNNNNNNNNNNNNNNNNNAGUACUAUGACCUGUAUUGAUCGACUAUCGUUAUGGUAUAAUAGGAAUACAUACUAUACUGUGCCAAAAUGUACCGAAAUAGGGAAAGGGAGGGGGAGAAGGAGAGGAAGAGGGAGGGAUGGAUGGAGAGAGAGAGAUAGAAAGUCGGAGGCAGUGCCUUGAGGCAAAGGGGAGUCAAUGAGAGGGGGAGGGAGAGAGAGAAAGUGGAAGAGGAAGAGGGCGGUGAGAGGGGUAAAUAGGGGAUCUAGGAGCUCCCCAUGCUUGGCACGACCGUUGACUGAGUGGCAGGGUAAUGGGGUCUUGAUGGAGGGGGGUAAGAGAGAGGGAGGGAAGGGGGGAGAGAGGGAGGGGAGGAGAGAGGCUUACAUGCUGGUCUGCGAGGGUGAGACAAGCGCGAUGCUCGAGCGAACAGGAGGGAGAGACGAAAAUUCUUAACCAAAUGAAGCAACAAAGGCGAGCCCUCUCAAUUUCGAUUUUAUAUGCUAAACCAUGCUGGUAACCGGCUGGUCCGAUUUGGUAUGCCUCGACUAACCAAUUCAAUGCGGUUUGGUAAUCCAUGGUGACUUCUCUAGAUGAGGAUUAUCCUUGGAGACGUGGCAAGAUUCCUUUCCGCAGGACUUCCACAAGUCAUACAGGAACAUUGGCACAUUUUGGAAACUCUCACAUCCCAACCUUCUUUUUAUUUUUGCACUUACUAUUUCUUCCUUUUUUAUGUAGGAUCGAGUGUUAUAUCAUUGAUACCACUAAUCUGAUAGGUUUGUAAGGCAAUAGGCCAAAAGUAAAGGAAGUGUAUAGGGAGCAAAGUAAAGAAUUUAUAUAAACGAUUUAAGAUAUAUUUCCUAUAUUUGGGACAACAAAAAACAAGGUUUGCCAUAUCGUUCAGUACCGGUCAUACCGACUGUAGCGUAUUGGUCCCGAAUUGGUAUGCGGUACGGCAGGCAUACCGACAAUCUGCGAAACCGAGUAUCGUAUCGAGCAUACCGGCACUUUAAUAGGAUGGUACCGGUAUGGGGUGCGAUAUCGAGGUUGCGAACCUUAACGAAAAAUGUCUCCAUAAUGCUAAUCUCUUUAAGGGUGUGCUUGGUGUUAGUUUUGCUUUUUUUUUCUAAGGAAGUUCUCACAAAAUGAACCGGCCCCAUCUCUUAGUCAAUCCGCUACGCACCUUAAGCACUAGAAGGAAUCCGGAAGGAGGUGAAUCCCUUAGAAGUUUCGAUCUUCCCCCAGCCUUGCCAUCGAGAGUGAAACUUUAUCCAACUCUUGAAUACCAUUAGUGGAAAGCAGCAAGGAGAGCAGCAGGUAAUUGAUUAAGGAAGCAAGAACUAUUAGGCAACGAGGGGCCUUUAUAAUAUAGGAACUUGUUACGAGUAGAUUCAUUGGAUUAGUUCAUCAAUAGCCUUAAGUCAGAAUCUUAUUUUCUUUUGACUCUGCACCAUUGAUUCCACUAUGAUUAUUGAUCAAUAAUCAAUAAUGAAAUAAUUCCUA
RNAcentral lists this long non-coding RNA (82329 nucleotides) under Phoenix dactylifera (date palm). RNAcentral's name for it is "long non-coding RNA (PDAC_LNC002323)". Lineage: Eukaryota; Viridiplantae; Streptophyta; Magnoliopsida; Arecales; Arecaceae. The record is from RNAcentral.